GAGAGAAGAGGUCAAUUUGGUUCAUCUCAAAGUUUAUCAAUUUUAAUAUCCGAAGUUUAGGGGGAGGGUGAAGAAGAGUAUGGUGAAAGAAUUAAUAUAAGAGCAUAAACCAAAUAUGAUAUGUAUAAAAGAAACAAAAUUAGAAGUGGAGAGGAAAUUUUUUGUUAUGCAAUGAUAGGAUUGUGAUUUUGAUUGGGGUUUUAGGCUAACAAUUGAGAGAUUUGGAGGACUAGUUAUUAUAUAUGCUAGAAUUACUGUUAUAUUUUAGUCUAAUAACAGCAGUAAAGUUGUUUUAGUUAUAUCUACUCUGACAUAGUAGCAUUGGUUUCUCCCCUAUGUAAUCUUGUUUCUCUCUCUCAUUGUAAUCAGACUUUACAUAUAUAUGAAAUAACUAAGUGUUGUUGGUAACUCAAUCAGACCCUUUAACAAUGUAGUCCUUAAAUUUAACAUGGUAUCAGAGUUGGUUGAUCUCGUUCUACUUAUUGUUGCCCUCUGUCAUCUGCUACCGUCUGUUAUCUCCGGCCAGCUAGUGUUAUUUUUCUCCAGCGGGUUGGUGCGCCUUGUCAAGCACAGUCGAACCCAAGUGUUUUGGAUCUAGAUUUUGACCCAGUAAUGAAGAGUGGGUUCUCUUUUUUCUUCUCUUGUCAUUUUCUUUUCUUUGUCAGAUCUACUUUUCUUCGGUAGGCCUUUGUUGUCACCAAUGCCACCAUUGUACUCGUCUCCCUUUAGCAAGUCUAACCUAGUGGUCAGUUGCUAUUGCCUUUGCCAGAGCCGUCACACCGAUCGCUAGAGUUGCCGUCGAAAUUGUCAUUGUUUGACUGUUAUUUUGUUGUUUUCACCUAAAGAUUCCAUUUCUACUUUUUCCUUUCUUGGUGUUAGUUUGGGGGUUUUUCAAUCCUCCAUUUACGCAAAUAUAGACGGUUCAUCCAAGUCAAGGCUUCUGGUGUUGUUUGUUCAUUUUAUUGGUCAUGUUUGUUUCUCUGGCUUGGUAACAAUGUAGAGCAAGGCCAGUUUAUUGGUAGUGGUUAAGCAUUGUGUUAAGCUUCUGCCAUCGAUGGUUAAACAUUGAGAUGUUAUGCUUCUGUCCAUAGUGGCUAAGCCUUUUGUUAAGCUUCUGCCAUGGAUGGUUAAGCAUUGAGAUGUUAUGCUUCUAUCCAUGGUGGUUAAGCAUUAUGUCAAGCUUCUGCCAUGGAUGUUUUAGCGUUGAUAUGUGUUGCUUCUACCUUUGUGGUGGUUAAGCAUUUUUCAUUGGCUUGCUUCUGCCUUUUAGGUGGUAAAGCAUGUUUGCUUCUGUUAAGUGGUUAAUCCUUGGGUUGUGGCUUAUGCUUAAUGGUUAAGCAUAUGUGCAUUGGCUUUGAAUGUUUUCAGUCAUUGUCUAUCUUUCACCAAACUAUUUUUUGGCACUCUUCAUUGUAUUUUGCUUUCAUUUGAUAUUUGUGUUGUUCAUCCCAAGCUGGAAGUUUUGUGAACACCUUUCAGCUUACGAAGGCCUAUUAGAAUUUUGGCCUUGUUUGUCCUUGUCCUAAAUGCAUGGGUUCGAUCUGGUGUCCUAGAUGCUUUGUCCCCGUCCUUGUCCCAGAUGCACUAGCUCCGUCCAUGUCCCAAAUGCACUGGCUUUGUCCUUGUCCCAAAUGCACUAGCCUGACUUUGUCACGGUUGCAUUGGCUUUGUCCUUGUCCCAAAUGCAUAGGUUUAAUCUAGUCAAGAAUCAUUAUUUUUUUCAAGGCAAUGUAUAGUAAUAAGCUAAAAGCUUAGCAAGCUUUAGCUUGAAGGGGAGCAUUGGAGGCCACUAGUCAAAGUUUAUAUCAGAGGAAACUAGUCAAAAGUCCAUAUUUCUGGAAUAUGUUAUUCAAAACAUAAUUGUGCCUUCUUUGUCAGCUCUUCCUUUACUUGUUUCAAGUCCCAUUGUGUUGUUUAUAUUCUUGUUGUCAUUUGUUUCAAGUUUUAGGAUCCUUCUUUGUUUUGCUUAGAGGAAGUAACAUCAUGGCUAGUAUUGCUGUCAUUAUUGGAUGGAUGAUGCAACAUUUUCUUGCAUUCAUUCUUGGACAGAAUUGUUGUUGGGGUUUUGAUUUUGAGCAAAAUUAUUUAAGAUGACCUUGUAUCCAUUGGUUGCAUUGUUAUCAUGAGUUUCAGUUGGCUCCUCCGCAUCAUGAGUUAGAAGAAGACUUUUCAGUAUUUGGUGUUGUAUUCUGCGCACUGGAGUCCUCUACCUUGGAGUUAUUUUCAUCCUUUGAUGCUUCAAUUCAUAUGUUCGAAGCUUGGAGCAGACAAUCUAUAUACUCAAGGUGGAGGGGGAGUGUUAGGUUUACUGUUGUAUUUUAUCCUAGUGACAACAAUAAAGUUGUUUUAGUUGUAUCUACUUUGGCAUAGUAGAUUUAGGCUUUUCCCCUAUGUAAUCUUGUUUUUGUCUCUCUGUAACCAAACAUCACAUAUAUAUAAAUCAGUUGAGUGUGGUUAGUGAAGUGAACAAAAUAAAACAAAGAAGGGAGUUGAAUUGUGUUUUCAAAUAAACUUCUCAGUAUAAUUUUCUCAACCAGUUUCUAGAUGAAUUACUUAUAAAAGCAUUAUUUAAUAAAUGAUUAUAGAAUAAGCAAUAAUAGUGAAAUAGGAAGAAAAUGGCAUAGCAGAUUUAUACUGGUUCAUCCCAAGUCAUAGGGCUACGUCCAGUCCUCACUCAACCUAGUGAGAUUUCACUAUCACAACCCUAGUUGCACUAGUACACAAUAGCACAACACCUAAACUCAUGGUGUCAACAACCUAUAACUUAACCCAAGUCCUAGAACAGGAGCUCAAACCUUAAUCAAUGACAAUCCCACUAACUUAAGGCAUACACAGUUGUUCCCUCACCACAACGCCAACCCUUGACCUUGGAUUGGAGACUUAUCUCAUAUUAUAGAAAAAGAGGUUUUCUGUGAAGGUACUACACAUAUACAAAUUCUUCAUAAAAUAGAAGGUUUCCACUCAGGAAUACAAAUCUUACUUCUCAUAUUUACAAUGUAAGCUCAAGUUGGAAGUGGGUGACUCUCAGCAAAGAGGCAGAAGCAAAUUUUCUCACUCGGAGAAGGCUUCAUAUUUUUUGUUCUUGCUUCAAUGGAGUUGUUUGCUUCGAAUGGCAACUUGGACUUUUUUAAGAAGACUUUCAUUAAACUGCCUGUUGGAUGUAGUGACCACAUUGUAAGUUGUUGCAGAAAUUCAAAAUUUGUGCCAGCUGUGUUAUGUUCUGCCAGAAUUUAAAAGUCAUUAUGAACUUUUCAUUCUAAAGUACAACUUAGUGAAGCAUAUAUCAGAAAGGGUUUCUGAUAUUUUUUUGAGUAGUAGAUCUUAAUCUAUAGCAGUUGCUCUAGAAUGAAUAUUGGGGAUGUGUCUUUGUAGAUAGUUCAGCUUCAUUCUUCUUCAUUAUACAACACAAGUUUCUUCAGGAUUGAUCCUUCGAUGCUUGUUGUAGUUGUGACAUAUGUUUCCUUUGUUUAGACUUUCCAAUGUCUAUCUCAUUCUGAUAUAGAAAUCAAUUAUGAUUAAAGGAUAAAACUCAGCUUCUUCAGUAUCUUGCAUCUUUGAAUUGAGAAAUUUCAGUUUUCUAAUGAAUCCUCGGAAUGUGACUCAUGUGGAAGUCUGGAAGAGACUCAAUAACUUCAUCAAAUGUUGCAGUUUCAAGACUUAUGAUGAUACCUUAGAAAGUGUAUCAUAUGGAUAACAUGAUCUUGCCUAGCUUUAUUCUGAUGGAAGUUUCUUUGGAUUGCUUGCUUUGAAUGUAAGUUAGAGGUAGAGAACUUCAUGUUCUGAUCCAGAUAAUUUGUUCUUAGCUUUAAUCAGAUGCUUGCUCAUAUUAAUGCAGAUAAUCAUUCUGAUAUCUGAUUUUGAUGUUGCUUCAUUGUAAUAUGUCUUGUUUUGUAUCUUCUAUUGUUUCUUCAGUUUGAAGCUUUUUGGAAGCUCUUGCUUGUUUCCAAUCUUGGUCAUUUCAAAAGGAGACUUUGGUCAUCAUAGAUGUGCUUCAAUUUUUCUUCUGAAAGUUACUUCACUUGAAUGCAAAUUGCUUCCAUUUUGAACUUCAUUUUGAACACAUUAGAAUGUUGAACUUGUCUUCGCUUUAUGAUUUAUCAUUCAAACAUUAGUAAAUAAGUCAGUCCAUAUAUUUUUCUCCAUUAUCCUUAUAAUUUGCAUGACUAAUGGUUUGUCAUAAUUAAAAUCAGGGAUACAAAUUCAACAGUUAGUAACUCACUCAAACCCUUCAACAAUGCAGUCCUCAAAUUGAGCAAUAUUUAUAAGGCUGUUGAAAUAGAACUUCUAAAACUAGAGUUUUAGUGACAAUAAACUUCUGAGAAGCAAAUUCCAAGUUAUCCAGGCUUAGCUACUAAUGGUUUGCUUUGAUAAUAUGUUUAUAAUACAAGACUUGAUUAAGAAGCAUGAAGAAAGGUGUAAAGCAUCAGCCUAAAGUAUGCCAACCUUUCAUACAUAGGAUUUGCCACAUUAGAAGCAAGAGUACCAAAAAUAAAGUUAACAAGAAGCAUCAAAGACAUAUCAUGUUUUCAAAGACCAAAGUGUAAAUAAAUUAGUAGUUGUGCAUGAUCAUAAGGUAUCUCUAGCCAAGGGUAGACGCCCAAAGGUUAUACAUGAUUAAAGUAUCAUCAGAAGAUGCAUAAAUAAACAACGAAUGAGACACAAAUUUUUACAUUGUUCAAAAGCACAUAUUAGAAGCAUAGGAUCAACAAAAGUCAUGCAAAGUGCUCAAAAGAAGAUAUGCAAGUGUUCAGAAGCACAAACUUACAUAAGUCAUUAAGUCCACAUGAAGAUAAAACAACCAUAAGCUAACAAGAGUGAUAUAUAAGCACCGAGGUUACUAGAAGCAUCAUCAGGGAAAUCCUACAGAACCAGAAGAAGCACCAAGGUCAUGAGGCACCCAUAACAGUAACCAGAAGAUGUCAUGAAGCAACCACUAAGACAACAAGUACUAGCAGCUCUCCAACAACCAUAAACAGUUAGCUUAAGGUCCUAUUUAUGGAACUUCAUUUGAAAGAGCUCAUUGCAAAGGAAACAAUCCAUCAAAUGAGGGUAAGGUCACAAAACUCGAGCUUCUCAAGAGAGAUACCCCACAUUUCAAAUAGAGUCUUCCUUAAUCAAAACACUCUAGGAUUAAGGCCAAACUUUAUCCAUCUAAAAUAGUGUUCGUAAGCACCCUUGUGUGAAAUCUCAUUGAAGAAGGUCUCCUAAGAGGUACGUCAGAAUUUGUCCAAACAAAACCCCAAGUGAGUAGAAUCUCGAUGGAGGUCUCCUAAUAUAACCAUAAUGUAUAUUUUUUUUUAGUAUAAUUAAUUAUACAUUUUCAGUUAUCCCAAACAUAUUUUUACUAUGUCAAACAAUAUUCAAGCAUAAUAAUAGACAUUCUAGAAAAAAAAAUUCAUGCGCUCUUGAUCAAGUCAACUUAACACUAUUAUUUUGUACAUGAAAUAAUAACACAUUAUAUUAGUGACAUCAUAAUUUGGUAUGUUGUACAUCUUAUUGCUUAACGCUUCAAAAAGCAUUAAAAAAUGUUUUUCUAUAUGUUUAAAAAUUACAUGACUUGUACAAUUUCACAUCACCCUUGCGACACGUGUUUAUAUCUAAUCUCCAUUAUGAGUAUACAAUUAAGUGAACGUAGUUAUUACUCGGGUAGCAGGGGCAAUCUAUCCAAGCUGUUGAAUGAGCCAUUCACACUGCCAUUGGAGGCAAAGUCAUCUAAUAAUUCACUAUCAAACUCAGAAGUUUCACUAGUUUUUACUUCAUCCGUUUCAUAAUGGGAUGGAAGUAUGCGCAAAUGUACACCUGAAUCUCCACUGAUUCUCCUUGUUUCUAGUUGGUAUUUGCGAACAAGUUCCAGCUGCAGAGAUAUUAUGUGUGAUGAUCUUGGGAGUAGAUCCACAGGUUCUCCCUUUAGAAUCACUGUAUGCUCUAUAGCCAUUCGCGCCUCCUGAAAUAUACAAAAAGCAAUUGUGCCAACCAUUCGUGAGACUCUUUAAUUUAAGUAUUGAAUUUAAAUUGUAAACUAUGGCCCCCAUGUUAUGCAUUCCUAGCUGAAGAAUACAGCAAUCAUUUUGGCAACAAUGGUAUUUAUUCAUUUCUAGUUUUCUACUUCAUCUAUGCCACGAUAUCAGUAAUCAAUCAUCAAAUAUUGGUUUGACAGAAAAAAAAAAAUGAAACUUACACAUGGAAAAAAAAGGAUUAUAAAAAGGGAGAAAAAAGAGAGGUGGGGCAGGGGAGGGGGAUUGAAGAAGUUUUCUGUCCCCAAUAAAAUUCACAAAUAACUAUCAGUAGAUUCAGAGAUAUAUAAGAUUAGUUUGGUGGUAAAGGGGUAAAGGGAGGAAGGGAUAGGUCGUGGGUUUGAAUCGUCCCGCCAACAAAAACUAACAAAUUAACAACUAAAAGUUGAAAAUAAAAAUAAAAAAACUACCAGUAGAUUCAGUCAGAUGUCUCAUAUUUGAUCAGAGGUAAGUUUACACCAUGAAGAACAACCAGUAAAGGAUUGCCAUGGUAACCCAUGACCUUAUUAAGACUAAAGUGGCCUUUAUUUCAUUGCUACCACCAUGCCAACCAACUCAACAAAGCUACACCAACAUGCAAUAGGGUUAUUGCUACCUUCACCAUCACUCUAGCUCACCAUUCUAAAGACUGGAAUUUGGCUCAAACUCAAAUCCAAUAGGUAAUCACAAAUAUUCUUGCAAUAGAUACAGUUUUUAUCAUUCAAAUGAUUAUGGGUCUGAGAUAACUAGCUGAAAAAAUUUGUGGUUUUGAUUAAUAUUGUUGGGCCCACAUCGACUGGAGAUAUGGCUUAAAUAAAGCUUAUAAAACUUAGGUAGUUCUCAACUUACAAGCCGGUUCUGUAGAAUUGAGUUAGGCCCUAAGACCAAAUUCUAAGAUGAUAUUUAAGCCUACACUAGAUCAGUUGUUGGGUCACUUGCAUUUGCCACCCUCCUGUAUUACAAGUCUGUUUUGUAGAGUUAAGUUAGACCUGUUUUGUUAGAAAAUUUAUUCUUUGAAUCAAGGGUAUCCUCAUCACCAUUUUAAGAAUACAUUUCACCACUUCAAACAAUUUUCAUUACUACAUUUCACUGCUAAUUUUCAUCAUAAAAUAAAAUUUUUAAGAAUACUUAAUUUGGCUAUCCACUAUAUAUCUUGGUAAGAAACACCACAAAUUGGGUAUGUUUGAAUUUUUGGUGGGACUGUUCCAAAAGUAUGUUUAAGAGUAAAAUUAAUUUGAGGUCAUGUUUGGUUACUCCCAAAAGUAUGUUUGAGAGUAAAAUUUUGCCUAGAAUCUCAGUUUUAGAGAAACAGAACUUAGGAUACUUUUGCAAACUUGGGUUUAACCUAAAAGCUAGCUCAUAAGAUGAGGGUUGCCUCUUACUUAUAUAAUCAAUCUUGCCUCUAUCUCUAGUCGAUGUGGGACUUGGGUAUUUCCCAAUACACUCUCUCAUCUCCAACACUUUUUGGGCUUGGUGCGUGAAUAAUAUGGUGAGUGACCCUUUUAAUGGAUCUAGGAUAGACUCUAAUACCACGUUGAAAGGGGAUUGGUUUUGUAUCACAAGAAUUACAUUAUCUAAUCACGCUUUUACAAGGGAACAACUAACCCUAAAGUAAAAAAACUAACAUAAGGAUAAAAAGAAAAAAUGUAAAAAGAAAAAGACGAUAAAAUAUCAAAUAAGAUAUAGAUAGAUCCCCUAAGAUAUUUCAGUUAUUUACAACAGGUAUGAAGCUACAAAUAGGCAAGCAAAGAUACCAGUGUUAAGCAAUAGUGCAAAUAUAUUAUGCUCACUCCAGAAUCCAGACAGCUAAAUUGGCUGUUUCUGAAUCCAUUUCCAUGUGUCUAUAGCUAUAUUUAGGAUUUGAGCAAUGUAUUUCUUACACAACUUAGUGAUUUUGAGCAUCAAUUGGUUUCCUCAAGUAAACAAAAACCAAAAAGAGAAAAGGAAAUAAAUGUUAAAACUAAAAUAAUAUUUAUAUUACCUCCAAAGCAUCAAUCAUCUCUGAGGAUUUUAUCUUGUCCGUUAGUUCAGAAUCCUUUAUACCAUCUUCAUGAUCACUUACUAAUGCCCGUAUGGCUUUUGCUACAUGCUCCAAAGAACUUGUCUAGAAGACAAAAAGAAUAUUGUUUAGCAAAAGUUAUGACAAAGUAUAGCUGUUUAACUAAAAACACAAUUUUAGAAAAUCAUUACCUUUGUCACAUAAAUGGGAAUAUCAUGAGAUUUAGCGGCAGCCUGGAUCCCUGGAUUCUUUUUAAGCUUGGAUUGUAAGGCAAGUAAAGCAUUUGCUUCACUAAUAUUAUCAGUCAAUUGAAUAGCCGCAUCAUUCAUUUUCAACUGCUUAACCCCUUGAAUAACAGUUGCCUCUAAAAUCUAGAAUUACUGACCAUUCUGUAAGUUAAACAGUCAACGAAAAAAAAAAUAAAAACAAAAAGAGAUUGCAUUAUUCAUUGCUUUGCUUGACCAACAAUUCUGUGAACUCAAUAUUGCCUUGGAUUGCAGGAGUUAUUUUUGAAUUACAACAAACAGGGUUUAUCUAAUUAUCAACACUGCUAACUUACAAUCAAAAGUGGAAACUGAAAAGCACCAGAAAACAUUAAAUGGGAGAAAGAAACUUUAUGUAAGGUUUGAUUCAGUUUAACUUGGUACUUUUUUACAUUUUAUUUUCCUCUUUCUCUAUCACUAGCUCAUGUGCUUUUUUUUCAAUUGAAGCAGCAUGUUACUGCUUUUUCCCCCUUUUAUUUGUCCUUUCUCCUUCCUGCCCUUUCUUUCUUUGCUUUUCCUUUUCCUUUGUCUUCUUUGUUUUCUUGUUUAUUUAUUUGUUUGCCUAGGAAGGAAAUUAGUCAUUUAAUAAGAUAUUAGAUUUUCACACAAAGUGGUUCACAAAUGUUAGAAACUAUUUGUCCUUAAUGGUGACUCUAAUUUGAGGAGGACAACAAUUUACAGCUAAAUAUAGAAUAAGAGAAUUGAAAGCUAUCGAAGAAUCAAUCCAGAUUUAAGAAGGAAUUGGAUGACACUCACAUCAUUCACAUAUCUUUACCUUAAAUUCUAGUGCAUUGGUAGAAAGCUGAAAAUAAAUUAUUACAAACAAAUUAAGGACCAAUUUGUUUAAACAAUUUUUUUUUAAAAAAAAAAGUGGUUUUUAAGAAGCAGAUAGGAUUUGCUUCUUAAAAAAAAGAAGUAAAUAGGCUAAGUGGGUAUUUAAGCUGUUAUUAAUGUUUAUUUCAUGCAUUUAUCUUAGGCUGUUAGCUGUUGCAUAACGGUGUCUUACCCCAUAACAAAACAGGCUAAGUGGCAAUUUAAGCUGCCAGGAAUCUUCCACCAAGUCAAUAGGCAACUUUAAAAGUGAUUCAUUUUGGUUGGUUUGGUCAUCAGACCCCUUUGUAGCUUUUUCAAACAUGAUUUCACCAUUCUUUUGAAGUGAACUGUCACUAACAAGUCCAUCUUGUAAAAUCUCUUCCUGUUCUUGAGACUUCAUCUUCCGUAUUUCUACAUUUGGAAAACGACCUACACCAACAAACCAAACAGCACAAAGUCAUAUAUCAAUCCACCGCAACCAUUUAUUUUGCCAGAGUGGCAACUUACCAGAAAGAAUAGCAUCCACGGUUGCUUCAAGGCUACGGUGAAUGCGCAACUCUGUCUUUGAAAUGAUCUCUACUCCACAACUAAAUGUAGAUGGGCCUUUCCUCUCCAAUACUGUCUUCUGAACACCCCUGCGACUGGCCUCUUCAUCCCCUAGUGUCACACUCUAAAAAAGGAUAAUAUAGCUGAAGUAAACAAAAAGAAUAAAUAUGUCCAUAAUUUUAGAUGCUCCUGGUGAUUGUAAAUUUAAUUAUUAGAACAUGAAGCAGAGGAAAAAGCAUAAACAUAUUAUUUUGGAUCAUGCUACAGAAAACUCUGUACAGUGCAAUAAGUUUGUAAUUGUUAGAGACAUAAUAUAAAAUCCUUCAUGUGUCUUUCACCAAACAACAUAAACCUCAGGGAUAACUGGCUUAUAGUUCUGGCCUCAGCUACAGUAUUUUCAAGCCAUCAACAGCAAAAAAUUCAAGGUUCAUAGUAUGUUAUAUUGUAAGUUCCUGUCACCCUCACUAAUACUGAUGUCUAACAGCAGACAACUUUGGUUUAAGUAAUCAAACACUGCUAGCACCAUGUCAUUUUUCAUUGUUGCCCCAUCAAUCCAUUAGAGAUUACACAAACACAUUGAAGGUCAAACUGUUCCCUCCCAUAAUUUCACUGAACAAUUGCAAAUAAGAUUCUCUUCAAGGACUUCAAUAAGCAAAUGCUCAGUACUCAACAGAGUGUUCCCUUGCAAAUUGUUUGGAUUGAGAGAUGUACAAAAGAGAAGAAAAAUAAAAGUGUGUGUUGUAAAGGCAUAUUUGUCCUGAUAAUAUUUUUACAUAAUCCAAAACAAAAAAGCAAAUAUGUCAUUUUAAUUUUUUUUGCUGGGUCCCACAAGCUUUUUCCUCUUUUCUCCCACAAAAUCUCAGAAGUUUUUUUUUUUUGGUGUGUAGGUUCCAUCAAACACUUCUUUUCUCACUUCUCUCCUUUCCCAAACAAUAUAGAACUUCAUUCUGUCUCACUUCUUUCUCACCCACGUCUUUCUCUCUGAAAUCAUGCUAAACAGACAGCUAACGAAAUGCCAAUAUGGCCACAUCAGGUCAGAAAAAUGACAAAAGUUCAAAUACUAAGUGUGUUUUGAUCAGCUUAAUUAAUUCCCUAAUUGUUUUUUUUCCUAGCAGCUUCUUAAGAAAGCUUUAAAAAAUGAUUAUUUUUCUGAAAAAUCAUUUCUAAAGAUGCGCUAAAUCUACAUCAAUUGUGAUAUACAAGAAAUCAACUUGGAAUCCUGCUUUAGAUGUUGGUAUACCUCACCUGUAUUCCUCCAACAAGCAUCUCUAAUGAAGGAUUCAUAAUGAGAUUCUCAAUUGUGAUUCCAUGAGCAGUGGCAACAAGCUGAAUCCCACGUUGUGCAAUUGUGCUCGCAGCCAUUGCUUCAAGUUUUGUACCAAUUUCAUCAAUUACAAUCACUUGUGGCAUGUGGUUUUCAACUGCUUCUAUCAAUACCUGAAUAAUUUUGUACGACAAACAUAGAAAUGUGGUCAGAGUAUGACUAUGAAACAUGCCUUUCAUAAUCAAAAAGAACUCCAUUUUGGGAUGCAUUAAUGGAAAUAGGAAAGAAAGGUAAAAUGCAAGGAAUGGAAUGAACAGGACUCCACAAAAAAUUAUCACUUUAAUAAAUCAUUCUGCUGUUUGGCUGCUUCCCACAAACAGCACACAUUCUAUCUAUAAUCUAUAUUACUGGUAUGAAAAGCUUAGUGCAUGUGCAUCUUUGUAAUAGGUGGGAAAUUAUUUGAGUAGAAUGUAAAUUGGAAUAAUUACUUUUGAAAGAAUGAAUUUAUGCUUGUGAACGUUCCAUCUAAAGGUAAUUUCUUUCAUUGGUGUAAAGAUAUAAAAAUUUCCGAAGUUGAGAACUAAUUCUGACAAUUAAGUUUUUAUACUAAACUUUAACGUCCUACUAGUCCUCAGGCAAAUAUAAACCUCAAUGUUUAAAUUAGAAUAUGCACAAAUGGAAGUAUCAUAAUUAUAUCCGAGAACCCUAACCUACCAAAUAAAAUAUUUCAGCUGAUUUCUCAAAUAAAUCAUAUAUCAUGUUUAUUUUAAUGACCAAGAAUUCUCGUGGAGUCAUUCCACUAUAUAUUGAAGAAAAUGUAAUGAAAAAGGACAGAAUAAGCUCCAAUUGUUCACAGAAAUAUUCUCAGUCACCACUGAUAAUAUAGCUAUACUUUCAACAUAUAGAAACAAGAGGUGAUUGGUAAAAAAAAAGAGGUUAAGCUCCUGCAAUUGCAGCUAAUACCUUAUGUUGCAUAUCAGAGUUAGGGACUUGCAUACGUCGAGCAUUGCCUAUUCCAGCAUGUGGUAUAUCGCCAUCACCCCCAAUUUCAUUGGAGGUGUCAACAAUCAUCACACGCUUCUUGUAAUCAUUUGCCAGCAUCCUAGCUAUUUCCCUGAAAAUAUAGAAAGUGUAUUAUAGAUUAUAAUAAUAAUAAUAAUAACAGCAACAACAACAACAAUAACAACCACAAAAACAAAAACAAUAAUAGAAGUGGUACUGAUAAUAAUAAUACAUCCAGACAGUUCCCUAUUUUUAUGAUGUUAGCAAGUACAAAAAUUUAAGCAUUGCCAAAAAACAGCAAAGCAUCAAAAAUUAAUGUUUGUUGAAGACCCAAAAAUAUCAUGGCCCCUAAGGAAUGGAGAACUGCAGAAAUCAGGGACUCAAUUCUGAAUAAAAAAGUUGACUGGACAAAAUUGGAAGCAGGGUGAGAGAGAAAUUUUACAUCCAAAUUAGAGAUCAAAAGCAAGCAUCAUAUUCUCUAAGUAAAUGUGUGCUUUCCAAAAACAUAGUUUGCUAAUGAGAAAAAGAUAGAACCCAGUCCGACAUGUAUACAACAAUCAAGAACAGGAAGAAGCAUAGUACAUGUACAGUUUAGUGAAUUCAGGUAAUUAUUGCAUGUAUAUCUAGCUCAACUUUUAGCAUCAGACAAAAGAAUCACUAACCUAAUAAUUGUAGUUUUGCCUACCCCUGGAGGUCCAAUGAGCAACAAAGAAGCCCCAUCUUGAAUCAAAUCUUGCAACAACUUUGCACUUCCUGAAAUUGCCCUGCCAACUCGACAAGUUAGACCAAUAAUUGUGCCCUUGCGAUUUCGGAUGGCACUAAUCCGAUGCAAUGUCCUGCUGAUUCCUGCUCGGUUAUCAAUAGCAAAGUCACCAACCUGCAAGAGGUUGUCUCUCAUGAAUUAACAGUUAUAAAUAUCUUUCCAUGAUCAAUCAAAACUUAGGAUCAUACAGAGAUGGUACUAGUCCAAUUCAAACAUUCAUCUCUUUCACUUUCUACAUCCAUGCUUCUAAGCAGCAAUAGAUUAUUACAUUUUUUGGAUACAUUGGCAGUUGUAGCCACAACUUAAACUUAGGGAAUUCAAUCAAAUUCACACAGCCCCAACUACUCUCUAGGGGUACACAAGAGGAUUAUAAAUAAAGCCUAAGAUAACCUAAUUGUAGAGAUACUCUUGCCCAAGCAUGAGCACAUGUCCGUGAACAUUCUGUUCCUCUUCUUUUCCUGAUUUCCUGAAGAACAUGACAGUGUCACUGUCUCAUGCUGACCAAAUUGCAGUUGUAAUCAAAGAUGUAGUGACAAAAUGCUGUCAUUUUACCAUGGAACAAUUUUAACUUUACACCAAAUAUAAUUGUAAUUCUUUAUUACAUCUUUUAUUUAUAAUGUUGUAUAAAUUUUUAUUCAUUCUUAAGUUUAAAAUUCACAUGGGGGUACAAAAAUGAUUUAUUUCGAAAGAAAGAUUGAAUGGAAUGGAUGGGAAAUAGUGUUGGGGUGUGAUGGAGCUCGCGGCUCAUUGCAGUUUGAAGGGUAUGAAGCAAUGCUUGCCGCAGUUCGUUGCGGUUGCAAUGCUAUUGAGUUGCAGCUGCUACGCGUGAACAGAAAUCACUCUAAUUUUGACGUGGUGCAUUCGCAGGUACUACCACAACUGCAAUAUUGCAGCCACAUCACAUGGUGCAUUCCACAAUUUGAAACAAUGGAACUUCUGAUAGAGAAAUAUAUAUUUUUCUAUGAAGGGAUCCAGUAUUACUUACACAGGCUUAGUUUAUGGCACAAUUUGAAUAAACUUUUAACUAAUUACUUGUAGGAGAAGAAAAUGAAAAGAAUUAAGGAGGUAAACCAAAUCAAAUUUCUCACAUACAUUAAAAUCAACUUACGGAAAAGUUAGAUAAGAGAGCAGAUGAAAAAGUUGAGAUGCAUAAGUUUUUUUUUAAUAAGUGUUUAUUGUUUAUUGAGAAAUUUAUCUAAACUGACUCUAUAUCUUUCUCUCUCAAACCAUACUGGUAACCUUUUCAAGGAAAAUCAGAGCAUCUAAAUCCACAUAAUAGCAUCUAUGGUUUCGAUCGGUUACUGUCUGACACACAAAUCAUCCAAACUAAGCCAAUUAAAUAUCCUAUGUUCAAAACCAAUAAGUUUGCCUUUGACCGGAUCCAAUUUAUUUUUGAGCAAGCACUUCUUAUCUUAAAAAAGGGGAAAAUGUGUUUUCAGUCCCUAUACUUUCAUAUUGAUGAAUUUGGUCCUCAAACUUUAAAAAACUUGUGGAUUUAGUCCCUAAUAAUUUGGAUUUUGUUAUAUUCGUAAGUAAUCAAUUAGGGACUAAAUCCACAUAUUUUAUAAAUAGACAUAAACAACAAAAACUAAACAGAACCUAUCAGUUCUUAUAAUAAAGAAAAAGCAAACAAACAAGACUUUUCAAUUUCCUUUCCUCCAAAUAAAAUGUGUUUUGUAAUUUGCCCCAUUUACGAACUUUCUUUCCAAAAGAGAUUACAAAAUCAAUAAACAGAAGCAAAUCAAACAGUAACAUCAUUCCAAUACUGAAUAAACCAUCAAUUUGAUCCCUCAAGUAUUUACCUUCUCUUUUGUAGUCCUUGAAAUGAUGAAAUGAUAUAAGUAGUGUUUAAAGUAUUGAAUAUUCAUAAGUUUAAUCCCAAAGUUGAUAUCGUGUAUGUUUGGAUUGCUGGUGGAUUGAUACCAUGAUUUUUGGAUACAACAAUAUAAAAAAUCAUGAUGAGUUCGCCACUGAAGCAACUAUUUGUUGUUUCCAAAAAUCAUAGUGAGUUCAAGUCACCCAUCACCACCUAUUGACUAAUGUUCAAAGACUAAUUUGAAAGAUUUUCCAAUACUUGGAAGACUACUUAGCAUGAUUUAUCAUCCUUAAGGAUUUAACUAUGCAAGUGCUAAGAACACAAUCUCUAACACACUCCUUCAAACACAAUGUUUUCUAAUCGGUUAAAAUUUAUUGAAAACUACCAAAUCAGGAAAGACAAUCAUUCAAUAGAGUGUUCCUAGCAUUUCAGAUAAGAAAAAAAUACUUUAGGGACUAUUUUGAGAGAGAGAAUAAACUUUAAAGAUGAAAUUUGUAGAUUAUCCUUCCAAUUACCUGGGCAGUGGCGUGCUCGAUAUCCUGAACCGUGAUAGGAUACUCCGAUAUCACGAAAUCCCCGGUCGGAAACCUUGCGAGAGGUUUCCGUCCCAAAUCCAUGACAACCUCUAUCAGCUGCGGCAGCUCGGGGUGGUCGCUCACGCGCCGCCGCAUCUCCUCCGGCAGCAGCGCCAACAGCCGCCCCAGCUCCACGUCCAGCUCAUCCUCGGAAAAAACCGGACCGGACCCGGCUGGAAAACUCGCGCGCAGGCUGGGGCCGGUUCGGAGCCGGGGAAGGGAGGGAACGAGGGGCGGGUAGAAGGGUUUGGGCGAAAUCGGGUUGGGAAGUGGCGGUUGUUGCGGGAGGUGGCAGCAGCGAAGCUGGAGCGGGAGAGUGAACCCUAGCAUCGAUUUUGGCGGGAACCGUGAAGUUGGUGUGUAGUGUUGUGGCGGUUUUGGGAGGGAAAGUGUUUUCUAAAUUACCGUUUUUGCGCGAGUAGGAGGAAGCGGAAUGGAAUCAGGAAUGGGGUAGCAGAUGUGGAGGAAUUCGAAUAUUCGAUUGGAACCGGAAUAUGAAGGGAACCUGGUUACGUGUUUCGCUUUUGCUUUGUUUUUUUUUUUUUUUUUUGGUCUGAAAGCACUGGUCAAGGGAAAAUGGACGAUUUUUUUUCUCGCAAUACAAACAAAAGAAAAAGGUUAUUCACUUCGAUCACAAUACAUUAUUUAUUAUUUAUAAUAAAUUAGUUGACCUUUUAUAAUAAUUACUCUAAAAUUAUAAUAAGUAUUUUAUACUAUUGUAAAUGAAUAAUCAUUAAGCUCGUAAAAAUAAUAAUUGAUAGUGUAUAAUUUUGAUUUUUUUAAUUAAUAAAUUUUGUAUAGUAUUAUUUAACGAUAAUUUAGUUUGUAUGGUUUACAUUUGUUAUAGUUAUAACUAGGACAUGCAAUUGAAAAAUGAAAAAUACAUCUCUAUUAUAUGCAAACUCAACAUGAGAUAAAUAUUCUUCUCAAGUCUUUAUAUAUAUAUUUUUUAAUCACUACUCUAAGAAGAGAAGAUAUAGUUCUAUCCAUUACCUCAAUUUGUCCAUCGGUUUAGAAAUGACAUGUAGUGGAGAAAAGAAGUUUUGUACCCAGCUUAUCCCAUAAGAUUCUCCAAAAGUGACUUAGGAAUUUUGUGUCACGAUCAGAAACAAUGUUUCUUUGUAGUCUAUGGAAACACACCACUUCCUUAAAGAAUAAGUCAAUAACAUGACAAGCAUCAUGAACUUUCUUACAUGGUAUGAAAUGUUUCAUCUUAGAGAACUUGUCCACUACCACAAAGAUGGAAUCCUUGUCAUUCCUUGUCUAAGGCAACCCUAAAACAAACUCCAAAGACAAGUCAAUCCAAGGAAAGUCAGGAAUGGGCAAAGGAAAAUAAAGUCUGUGAGGCAUUACCUUAGAUUUAGACUUCUUACCAGCAAUGCAUCGUUUACAAAACCUAUGUACAUCAUGUUUCAUGUGUGACCAAUAGAAAUGUUCUUGCAACAUAUCUAGAUUAUUUUGUAUCCCAAAAUGUCCCAUUUAACCCCCUUCAUGUGCCUCUUUCACAAGCAAUUCUCUUAUGGAUCCUUUAGGCACACAUAACCUUUUUUCUUUGAACAAAUAAUCACUAUGCCUAAAUUAUCUAUUUUGAGCAAUAUGCACACAUGUAGAAUAUUUAGAAGAGAAAUUUGGAUCAUGUUCAUACAAUUCACUAAUAUGCUCAAAGCCAAUGAACUUAGUUUCAAGAGUACAGAUCAAAUCAUGCCUUCUUGAGAGUGCACCUACUACCACAAUGAACUUACCUUUCGAGUGCUUGAUCACAUAUGGGACUUGCUCAAGAAACUCAACCCAUUUGGCAUGUCUCUUAUUCAGCAUGCCUUGUCCCUUUAGAUGCAUCAAGGACUCAUGAUCACUAUGAAUGACAAACUCUUUUGGCAAAACCUCCAGUAUCAUAUGACCACAACCUCAUCGCCACUACACUGGUAAAGAAUUCACUACUGCACAAAAUAUAUUUUAUGUCAAUGUCACUACCUAGAUUUAAAAAAAAUGAUGUAGUAAAUGGCACAAUGACAUUUUUGCAAUUGAAUGCAACUUCAUAAUAUUAGUUGUUUAUAAACUAAUGUAGAGAAGAUCAUUCAAUGUUGUUGCUUAUAAUGAUGCCUUAUCCCAAUUUGGCAUAGGAAACAGGGUGAACAAGAUCAUGAAAGAUCAAGCCAACAAGAAAAAGACAAGGAGCCAAGCCCAAAAAAGAAGAAGAGGGGGAGGAGUUUCUUAGAAAAGAACAAAGAACCAAGAAAAAGCAUAAUUCUACUCCUGUGUCCAUUCCUCCAAGUAUGAGUCCAAAAACUACUCCCACAAAGAGAAGUCCAAAGAAGUCAGUUGAGAGGAAGACCACUAAUCAAAAGCUAAGGGACUUGAGUGAAACUAAUGAAGGUGAUGUUCCCCUCAUCCAUAUGAAGAGGAAAGUUGAAGCUUAACAACAAGUUCUUGCUACUCAAAAAAAGUGGAAGGUGAUAAAGGGGGAUCCCUCCACAAAAGAACUUUUUAUUGCUUCCAUAGUGCCAAGGAAAGUAAAGACAAGGGCAACUAGGAUCGACACUACUAUUCUUGAAAAAGAUUGGAAGCAACCAUCUCUUUCUCAGGAAACUGUAAGUGUUGAUAUCUUAGAUGCUCACAUCUCUCCUCAGAGGUCAUCCACCUGCACCACCUCAGUAGUGUCCAACUCCGUUUCCCAAAAAUGUAACAUUAUGUUUUUUGUAAUGCUUGAUUAAGUGGUUUUAAUUAGAUUGCAAGAUUAAUUAAUUUAAUUUAAGCGUAUGUAAUUAAUUAAUUAAUUAUGAGAUGAUGGUGUGUAGUACUUGUAUGUAUGUUAUGUUUACAUAUGUGAAAAAACUUUUUUAGGUUUGAAUAGUAAGUUCUAGAGUGUUUAGGCUGAGAGGGAUAGGUCUUGAGUGAUAGGAAUGGGGUGAGUGAGUUUAGGAAGUGAUGGGGUGUGCAUAAAGAAAAGGAGAGGAGUCAUACACUUAGCUUUUAGUGGAUUCAAAAUUGAACCAAAGACACAAUACUCUCUUCUUCCUCUCCAAGAAAAAUCCUCCAUUGGAGAGCUUGAGACCUUGAAUUCCUUUGCUCCAAGGACCUUGUGGCAGUGUUUUAGUCAAGUUUGAGGACUAGUUCAGUGGUAAGGAACACUUUUUUUCCCCUCUCAUCUUCCAUUUUCAUUUUCCCUCCAUGAGCAUUAUUGGAAGUUCAUAAAGUGUUCAUUUUUAUGGUUUUGAUGUGGUUUCUUUUGGUUUUUGGGUUUAGGUGGUAUGGAUGGUGGAGUUGUUGUAUGAGUGGGAGAAAGCUUCCAUCUUGGGCCUAAAGUCUCCUCCUUUCUUCCUUUCUUCUUCUCAAAGUUAGAUCCUUGGUUUGUAGAAGUAAGGGAAGCUUUACUUUGAUUGAAUGCUAUGUAUGAGUGAUUGAUGCUUAAAAUGUUUUUGGGUGUGGAAUAAGUUGUGUGUAUGAUAUAUGAUGUCUAAUUUGAAUUGAGUUUGAUUUAUAAACCAUUUAAGGUCCUACUCAAGAAAUUUGAAGUUCUACAGACAUUUACACUUAAGCCAAGAGUGAUUUUUGCUUAAGCGAAAAGUCUGUCAAGGAAAUGUGCUUGUUGGAUUUCAGGCUUAAGUGUAGGUGAAUCUAGGCUUAAGCGUGACCAAGCUUAAGCGUAUAUGAUUUUAGGCUUAAGCAUGACCAAGCUUAAGCGUAGAUGAAUUUAGGCUUAAGUGUAGUUAUCGGUCAAUUUUUCUUUGGUGAAUCUCAAUUGAAAUUCAAUCUUAAAUGCUUCAUGAGGUGUAUGUGAACCUUAAAUGGAAUGAAUAGAGUUGAUAUAUAUAUUGUUAUUCUCAUGUAAUUCACAUUCAUAUGUUGAGAUUGGUGUUUGAUUUAUGAGAACUUAUGGUGUGAAAUGUCUCAUGAUGUUUAGAUGAACUAUGUGAGAGUCCAUGAUUGAUGAGAAUGAUAUGAAUGGUAAAAUGAUGAUGAAUUGAACAAGAUGUGAAUAACUUUAUUUUUUAAUCAACAAAUAAAAGUUCUAUUAAUUUGUAAUGGGCACAAAGGGUACCCAACCUAUUUACAAGAGAUGAUCCAUAAGACUAGCAGCCACGUUAACCAAUCCAAGGUUAUAGGAUAUUAAUAUAGAGAUAUAAAUAUUCCAUAACCCCAAGUUGACUCAUCAUCUAAUAUCUCCCAAGUUCACAAAAUUAACUCACCUCCUUAUCAUAAUUGUCCCUUGCCUUAAUACCAUAGACAUACUACCCACCCAUGUCUACAAUAACUCCACCAACCUCCCAAGUCCCCUCUACCCGACAAUACCAACUAAAAAUCUGCAAGAAUACAAAUUUCAAAAAGCAGUAGCAUCAAGCCAAAUUUAAUGCAUUUCCCCCUUGCAUGCCUACAAUAAAUUAUAACAAUGAUAUACCACUAAUUCAACGAAAUGUUGGACAAGUGGCCUCAAUAACUUAAGACAGGGGGUGAAUUAAGUCUUACAAUUCCCACUAACAAACUUUUAACCCCCUUCUAAAUGAUAGGCUCAGAAUGCAGAAGAAGAAGCAACAAUCAAUUUAAUAAUGUUCUUUAAACAUGCAAGACAAAAUUGAUUGCAAUAACAUAAAUGAGAUAAGGGAAGAGAGAAAUGCAAACUCGAUUUAUAUUGGUUCGGCCACUUCCCGUGCCUACGUCCAGUCCUCAAGCAACCCACUUGAGAUUUUCCACUAUCUUUGUAAAAAUCUUUUAUUAUCACGCUAAGCGUGAGGGUGGCGCUAAGCGCAGUGUCACGAAUUCAGAUCCUAUUUAAAGCCUGUCUUGUGUAGAAUUAGGGUACCACUUUUUAUGACACUUUUAUGGCAGCUUCUACAGAUGGCCAGGGCACAGAAUUCCAGAGCAGCCACAGGCCUAUUUGGGGAAAAGAGCCCUAGAACCAGAAAAGAGGAGUAGCUUGUGCAUUGAAGCCUAGGUUUUGUCAUUUGAGAGAUUAUUGAGUAGAGAGUGAGUGUGAGAUGCUGAGAAGAGGAGGAGGAAUCCCCUUUCUUGUGUAAGGAACUAUCAUUCUCUGCUUUUAAUCUCAUUUAUUGUUAAGGUUUCUUUGUAAUGGCUGGCUAAACACCCGAGUUGGGGAUUUCUAAUGAACAGCUGAUGUAAAUACCUAAUAUCUAAUUGAUUAUGUUUUAUGUGAUCAAUGCUUCCUUCAAUGCUUAAUGUUUGUAUGCUUUUGGUUUGAUCACCCAUUUGUGUGCACAAUUAGGUGACUUUAGCAUUGGAAAAUGUAUUGUUGCCUUAGAACUUGAUUGAAGCAGGAUUGAAACUUAGCCUUACAUGAGGGAUCUGUAGGUUAAGUUUUGGUUUUAAUUAUGUUGUUACAAUAAUGUUGUUUAGUUUAGGCCUAGUCUUACAUGAGGGAUCUGCGGAUGAAGCUUAGGCUAAACUUUAGUAAGCUACUUGAGCUGAGUCUAGUCUUACAUGAGGGAUCUGUGAACGAAACUCAGUUUAAGUUAGUCUAAACCUAAGAGGGCUGUCUAAAUUGGGUGUAGUCUUAAAUGAGGGAUCUACGGACGAAGCCUGGAUAUUCAGCCUGACGAGGGAUCGAGGGUUUAGUAAUUUAGGCUACAACAUAGAACACAAGAGCAUGAUUGAUUAGAGAAAUAUAUUUAUAUGCAUCGGCUUGUUUGUUAGAAAGACCCAACAUAUCUACCUAUUGUUGUCAUUUUAUAGUGUUUAGCAUACAAGUUUAGUUUAAAUUCUAUUUGAAAUUAUCGCUUAUACAUGUUCUCUCAACAAUGCUUCGAUUCUGAACUUAAUUCAGGCUAACAUUAGCUCCCUGUGUUCGAUACUCGGAUUCAUCCAUUUUAAUUUUAAAUACUUGACGACCCGGUGCGCUUUCCGGUAAACCCCCAUUGAAAUUUCCUCGAGACAUAAAUGCACAAAAAGUAACUGCAAUGGGGGGUGAUCAAGUUGUUUACGUGCGGGGAAGGUAUUAGCACCCCACACGUCUAUCACAAGGGAUGGAAGCCUUUAAUCAAGUGUGCAAAUUCAUGACUUCAAUAUUUAUUUAUUUUUCCCUUUUUUUGUGUUUUUCUAUCUUUUGGGGUUGACAAGAGCGUGGCUCUUGCUCCUACGUAUCCUCAAGUGCGACGAGGAACUCAGACCUACGUAGUUCUUAAAAGCAAGAAAGUUACGCGUAGGGUUGAUUUUAAACUUUUGAAAGGUUCAUUUUAACCGAUAAAAGUAAAAGAGACCGUUAAGGCGUUGGACCUUGAACGGAUUCAAACAAUUUUUGUGGAUGAAAGCUUGUUUUUUUGUGUUGAUUUUAACUUUGGUUUUCACUUAUUUACUUUGAAACUCAUUAAAAGAUGACUUGCAAAGUAAACGAACGGUUUGAACUUUAUUUUACAUUGAUAAACCGAGGUUACGACACAAACGAUCGGUUGAAACUUUAUUUUACAUUGAUUAAGUGAGAUUAUGGCACAAGUGAUUGGUUGAAACUCGCUUCAUACAAAGAAAUGAGAUCGCUGAUGGUCGAAGAAUGAAGAUGAAGGUGCGAAAAGCAAGAGGGGACCCCUAAGGGUGCAUAGAAUGAAUUCAAAGCUCCAAAAUAAAAACUAUUCGGUCGAUGAACAAAGAACGGAUGAAGAACGAACGAAGAACGGAUGAAGAACGAUGUAGGAAUCGAUCACGGAAGCGAUUCGGAAGCGCCUCGGCCUCGUUUUUUCUUCUUCUUUCUCCUUCUUCUCACUAAUUCAACUAAAAUGCUCUUAAUGUAAGAAGCUGAACCCUUUACCUUAGCCCCCUCACACCUAUUUAUAGGAAAUGAGGGGUGGAGGUUGCACAGCAGCUCGCCCAAGCGAGCUGGUUGCUUCCUCCAGAAGUAACCUUGCUUGCCCAAGCAAGCUGGUUACUUCAACCCUAAGCUUUAUGGUGGCCCAGGUGAGCCAAAUGCUAGCCUGGGCGAGCCAAGGGCCUGAAAAAGUCAUCAAAUGACCAUUUUGCCCUCCCUUUUGGGUAUUUUUCGUAUUCUUUUCCGAAACGUCAAAAAAUCUUACGGAUUGCAUGAUAACUGAUGUUAAGCAGCUCAAUUCGGUUGGCAAGAAUCAAAACUUUAGCAAAUUAUCGUCCCUGGACGAAAUUAGGGUCUAACACUUUAUAUAAGAAAAAAAACUAAUUCAUCAAAACCAAUAAAAAUAUGUAAGUUAAUUAAUUUUAUUAAUAAUAUCAUAAAUUUAAAUCUUAUUCCAAAAAUAGUCAUUGAAAGUAGUGAUAAUAUUUAAUGACACUACACAUGAUUCAAGAGAUGAUACUUUUCCCACCAAUGAAUGGGUUUGUAUGAUUAAUAGGUUAAUAAAUGCAUCCACUUGCAUGAAGAAUGGAGAAUGAGCAAACAUCUUUCACAAUAAAUUAAGGUAUAAAAGAAAAUUAACAAGUAAUACAUCUUAAAGUGGAUCCAUGUUUCGUAUAAAUAGGAUCAAAAUAAUAUACUCAUGUGUUUUUUUUUAUUGUUUACAAUGUUAGAAUGUUGUAACUACUAUUAAAACCUUUUAUUAGUGUAUGCUGUUGUUUUAUUUUAUUGUUUAAACUAAUAUUCAAAUCUUUUAUAUAUUAUUGGAUUCAAAUUUAUUGGUUUUGCUAGCCAACUUAAGAAAACAUCCCUAAUUAAAAAGUAUAAUUACAAUUAACUCUUUUAAAAAUAAUGUUACAUUAAAAAGUUACAUAUUUUUUCAUAAAACUACACAUGUCAUUUUUUUUAUUUGUGUAUCAUACACAUUCUAUCCAUAAAAUUAAUAAAAUAAGAGAAUUAAAAGGGACAUAUAAGAUUUAUCUUCAAUAAAAAGGUGUAUGUGAAUGCCAUUUUUCUAAGCUAAAUUAUUGUUUUGGUCCUCUAAUUUUUAAAAUCAAUUCAAUUAAGUUCUUUUAUCCAAAUUGAUAUUAACAUCGUUAAUGUAAUGCAUAUGUGUCACUUUCACACUUAGUGGCAGUUCAAAAACCAUUAGUAAGUGUUUUUUGUUUUACUAGAUGUCACAAUCAUUUUCGCAAAAUCCCCAUUGAAGUCCCAUGGGUCUCAUCCAUCUUCGUCUCCCCGUAUUUGAAUCAAGCCCAUACCUACAUCUACAUAAGAAAAAAUAAGAUGAAAAUCAACCAGAUCUAAAUGAAAAUUGGGAAUGGAUAGCAAUUGAGAUUCUAGAUCUUGAAAGUAGUAGAAAAUAAAAUUGACAUUGUGGAAGAUUCCAGAGUGACACAGAGGUCAUGUCACUUUCGUGGUUGUCGUCGGAGACGAUAAAGUUCUUCAUGAUAGUUACAUAGAAGUGUUCCCAACACUUGCAAUGGAAAAAUUAGGAUCUAUUUUGCAUUCAAAAUAUACAAUAAUAAUAAAUAGAGAAAAAUAGACUUGUGUAUCUAGAUGCGCGUUCUUGAAGCAACAAAUUUUUUCUUCAAUGGUGUGAAGACUCUACGUGUAUCCAUACCGAGACUAAUAUUUGCUAUCAAUUUUUUGAUAAGUGGAACUCUAAAGAACAAAUUUUCUUUCUACUUUUCAUGUCUAAAACUAUACUUAAACUUCUCUAGUUUGUGUAUGUUGCACCUUGCCUCCGAUAAAUACUUCUAUUUAUGAUGUUAAAGAGACGUGGAUUUGGACCCUUUUCAGGAAAAAAGGAAAGAUUUAAAAUAAUUUAAUAUCUCUUUAUCUUUAUAAAAAUAAAAAUUAUCUCAUAUCUUUUAUUUUAAUAAGUUUCUUGAUAUAAGACAAAGAUAAUUCACAGAAAAUAAUAUCAUAAUUAAUCACAUUCCUAGUAUGUAGCAAUGAAAUAUUAUCCUUAUUUAAUGGACAACUUUCACACUUAUAAAAUAAUACCCCUUUUUAUAUUAAUUAUAUUCUUGGUACUAGUUAAAAAUAUAAUAAUAUUUUACUAAAAUAUUUAUUUGAUUAAAUUAAAUUCUCUAAUUUAAUUAUCAAAUAAAUUAUUUUCUUUUGCAAAGACUGAACACUCGUUUGUGUGUGACCCAAUAUGUUUAAUAUUAAACUAGUAGUAAACUAAUCAUAAUUAAUUUACUAAUUAAGGUAGAUAGAUGGUAUGAAGUAAUAUCUUUUACCUCCAAGAAUCAAUAGAAGAGUAAUGUAAUAUUUCCUUCCAUUGUUUAUAGUUAAGGUUAACUCUAGAGUAUAACAUUAUUGUCAAACUAUAAUGAAAUAACACAUUUAAUCAAUGAAUGACUUAAAAAGUCUUUUCUUCUCUCAUUCAAUUGCUCUCGCCAAGGUCUUAAUUCUAUCAUAAAGCUCAAACUCAUUACCUAGAGUUGAUGAAUUUUUUUCUUGAUUAAUCAUUAAUUCUAUACGUAAGGAUUUUAGGAACAUAUUUUUUUCAUGAAAUUAAUGAUUGUUUUUAAAAUAAAAAUUUAUGAAAAAUUACAAUCAUAUACUCCUUCCGUUUUAAAUAUAAAAGAAAUCACCUAAUUAAAAAAAUUAGUUAAUAUUAUUUAAUUAUACUAAUCUCAUUUAAAAUAUAAUUUUUUUCAUCCACUACCUUUUUAAUUUAGAAUUUGACUUAAAAAAUUAAACAAAGCCAUUGAAAAUAAAACUUCAAUUAAAUGAAAAAUAUCUUGAAAAAAUUAUCUUAUUAACUAAAAUAAAAUUAGUCAACAUUUGAUUAUUUGAGACCACUACAUAAGGAUUUGAGACUACAAAAUGUAUUAGGUAAAUUCACAUAUUCAAAAUUUUAAUUAAAAUAGUAUCAACUUUUUUAAUGAAACAGAUAUUGUGAAGUGAAAAAUUCAAUAUUUAACAAAUUGUUAAAAAUUUUAAAUUUUUUAUAUUAUUGUUUUUGAAUUAUUAGACUUCAUCUAGAUACUUCUUCCAUUUAUACUUUUUUCGAACUCAAAUAUUAUACAAGUGAAAAAAAACUCGUAUGGUAGUCUAAAAUAUAAAAGCAGAAUGUAGUUAUUUUUGCUCUAUUUAAUGAAAUCAUCUCAAAAUACUCCUUAUUUAAUUCAAUCUUUAUUUUUAAAGAUCAUUUUAGUAAAUUAAAGCCUUCCAUCAAUAAGCACCGUGAAAGAUAGUUUAGGAAAUAAAGUUUAUUUUUUAAAAUAUGAUUGAGAAAAAUAAAUAAAGUUAACCAACAUUCUUAAUUAACUUCAAUUAAUUUUUUUCCUUAUAUUUAAAUCUAGAAAAAGAUGUUUAAGAUUAAUGCAGACAUGUCAAAGAAAAUUUAAAUUGUGUUUGAGAAUUCACUUUAGGAGCUUAUAAUCUAGUUUGAAUAGCUUAUAGCCUUAUAAGCUAAUUUGGCCAAAGAUUAAAAUACUCUUAUUUAAUUAAUAUGUCAUUACUCAUCAUAAAUUACUACAAUAGCAAUUAUUAAAUAGAGAUAUAGGUGAAAAAUAAUUUAUAAUAUUUUAGAUUCGUAAAACAUCAAUAUUUUUUUUAAUUAAUAUAAAAAAGGGGGGAAAAACUAAAGUAUCUAUAGUAUGUAACAUCCAAGAUGAAAAAAAUAAAGUGCAGUGAGUUCCUGAGGUAUGAAAUUAUGUCCUCGUACUAUCUUUGUGUAAGGUUAUCUGUCUCCAUAUAUUUGAAUCAAUUUGGUGUAAUGUAUGAUUGCAAGAAGUAUUUUUAGUCGGAUAUCGAGACUAAUCUCCUUUUAGAGGUCUAAAAACAUUCAAAAUUAGUGUGUUUCCUCUUAACCAAAAUUUCUUCAUGUACAAAAAUUAGGAUUCAAACCCUUAACUAAUUACUGGUAGGAUUAGAGUCCGUUAAUACUCGAACCCAAACUCAUAAGUUGAUUCAAUUGAUUAAUUUACAUUGUUUAGAACCACAUGAAACAAAUAAAAAAUGAAAUUUAAUUGUACUUUUCGUAUCCUAAUAUAAGUGUGGAUAAUUUUUGUCUCCAUAAUUUUAAUUGUUUGGUUUUGGUUUCCUUAGAUUCAAAAUGGGCAGUUUUAGUUUAACCAUUAAGAUUGUGUCAUCCAAUAGUUGAUGGAGUUGAUAAGGUAGAUUGUUUUUUCUUUGUGGGUUGUCCUAGAUGGACUCACAUGUCCUAACUUUAAUUGUUGUCGUUGAUAAGGAUAAGUUGAAAAUUAAAAACAAAUAAAAAAUUGAAAGACAAAUCAUUGUGACAAAUAGACUUACACGAAUUGAUCCUUAGUGUAGGUUAUGAUUAGGAUGUGCAAAAACUACGAACUAAACUGAUUUUGAAAUGUUUUAACACAUUUGGUUUUACAUCAAAAUAGUCAAAUUAAUUUAGAAAUUGAUUUAAAAUCAAUCUAAUUUUAAAAAAUUAGCUCUGAACUAAAUUAGUUUUUAAUUGACUUUAAAAGUCAAAUCACUUUUGAACUGAUUUUAGAACUAGUUUUUGAAUUAUUUUUUAAAAAUAAAAAUAUUUAAAUAAAAAUCAAUUUGACUAACUGAACUGGUUUUAUUGAAAUAAUUUAGUUAACUAAAUUGAUUUUAUAAAAUAUUACAUUUUUUUUAUAAAAAAAUAAUUUGAUUUAGGUUCAAUUACAAUUCAGUUCAAUCCGAACCGAUUUUUUUACAUACCCCUUACUUUUCCCAUCUUGGACAUUUUUUUUUCCUCCUAUGCUUGUUUAACCGUUAAGUCCCAAAGUAAAACGCACUCUCUCUUUUAGAACGUUGUUGAUGGAUCUGAAGGCUCUUAUAUCUUCCACUUGGGUUUGACUCUUAAUACACCCAUUUGUGGAUGUUAGGAAGAAGAAGAAAAAUAUAUACAAUAGCAAAUAUGAGUUCAAACCCCACUCUUAGCAAACACUUUUGUGGUUGCAAAACUAGGUCCCUUAGUAGUUUUUUUUUUUAAUUCAUGUUGUCCCAAACGUGGACUAUGGCAAUAAACAUGGACUGUGAUCCAAAAAUGUAAGUUUUUUUUUGGUUGUGAUGUGCGUGUGUUUGUUGUUUUAAUUUUUUCAAAUCCCACUUUAUCCAUUCAAAACUCAAUUUUGGAGAUGUCGAUCCCCUUAGGAUGAAACCAAAAUUCAACAAUUAAAAAUUAUUAGAAUCAAAAUUGUCACGUUAUAUGUAAAAAAAUAAAAACAUUAUAGAUAUAUUAAAGAAAUUAAAAGUGUAAUUAAUAAUCUUUUAUUGGUGAUUUAAAACCUGAUGACCCAUUUAUUACAUAAAUCAAUCAAUAUAAUAUCAAUAAGUGGUGAUACUUGACUCAAUCUUUUUAAGUAAAACUUUGGGUGGAGAAUGAGUCUUAUAGAUAAAAAAAUUUGAUUAAGAGAAAAAACUCUAAUAAAGAUGGACAACUAGAUUUUCGACAUAGAUUAAUUUAUUAACAAAGCUAGUUAUACUUUACACUAAUAUCAUAGCCUCUUAAUUAAAAAAAUUAUAUAUAAAUUCUCCUUUUUUUAUGAAAGAGGAAAAUUACUUUCUCCCUCACUCUUUUUAGUUUUUAUAAAGAUAAAAUCAUGCCAUUAAGAAUCAAAUGAUAGGAAAAAAAAGUAGUCAAAUUCCUAGUCUCAGCAGGGGUCAUAUCACCAAGAGCUCCACCAUUGACAACAUCAAUCAUACUCCUCUCCAUGUUGCUAAGUCCCUCAUAGAAAUAUUGAAGAAGGAGUUUCUAAGAAAUCUAGUGGUGAGGACUGCUUGCACACAAUUUCUUGAAUCUUUCCCAGUACUCAUACAAGCUCUCUCCACUAAGUUGCCUGAUGCCUGAAAUAUCUUUUCUGAUGGCAGUGGUCCUAGAUGCAGGGAGGAAUUUCUCCAAGAACACCCUCUUAAGGUCAUCCCAGCUGAAAAUGGACCUGAGAGCAAGGUAGUAUAGCCAAUCUUUUGUCACUCCCUCCAGAGAAUGAGGAAAAGCCUUUAGAAAGAUAUGAUCUUCUUGGACAUCAGGGGGCUUCAUGGUGGAACAAACAAUAUGGAACUCCUUAAGAUGCUUAUGAGGAUCUUCACCUGCAAGACCAUGAAACUUGGGCAGCAAAUGUAUUAGUCUAGUCUUUAGAACAUAUGGAACACCCUCAUCAGGAUAUUGAAUGCACAAGCUUUCAUAAGUGAAAUCAAGUGCAUCCAUCUCCCUAAGAAUCCUCUCACGAGGUGGAGGUUGAGCCAUGUUCUCAGUAUGAAAAUUAGUAGUUGAAUGCUCAAAAUCAGAAUAUUCAGAAUCACCAACAGUAAAAUACUCAGAAUGCUCAAAAUGCACAGAAUGAUCAGGAUGCACAAUAUGCCUAACUAAUCUAUGAAAGGUUGUAUCUAUUUCAGGAUGAAAGGGUUGUAAAUCACCUAGAUUGCCCCUAGUUAUGCACUAUAUGCAGCAAAUAAUGUGUUCUCAAACAAGCACCAGGGGAGGGUUAAAACUACAACUAUAGUCAAAUGAUAUCCAAAUGAGCUGAAAUUUUGUGAGCAACACCCUAAAAUCAUGAAAAGAUAGCACAAAAAAUUUCAAACAAAAAUUCAAAGUCUAACUAUGAAAACUACUUAAGCAAAGUUUAGAAAAAUAGGACAAUAAUACUUGAAAAAUAGAAAAAACUUAGUAAACAACUGAUUUUUCGAGUGUGGGAGACACCAACCAGCUAAAGCAGGUUGCCACAAUAUAGGAAAUUUUUUUUUUACCCCAAAUGCAUAUAUAAUAAUAGUCAUUCUGAUACCCGGAGCAAAAGUUAUGACCGUUUUAAGUUUUGUUAAAAACAAGUUCCCAAAAUUUUUGUCUCUCUCAAAUUCAACCACAACAAGUGCUCCUGGUAUUUUUCACUCAAAAUAUGGAUCAAAAGAAACUACCACACAAAAAAUCAGCCAAAAAUAACAACUCUAACUAUCAAAACAAAAAUCUCUAAUUAAAUUGCAAAAUCAGUGGCUAAUCACUGUUCAUAGCAUAACACCAACUGAAUCAGUUGCUAAACAGUCGCUAAAAGUAGUCGCUAAACAGGGGGCGCGACUGAAAUGCAAAACAGAACGCUACACAAAAACAAAACAACUAAACACUAUUAUGAUCGAGGUCAUACCCGAAUCAAAUAAACAUUAAAAAUGCAGUAUCUAGGAAGUGAUCCUAGGUCGUCUCCCAACGAGCAAUGGUCAACCAAACGUUCAUAACAAAUUGUAAUAAAAUAGUAACGAAUUAGGGGGGGGGGUUGUUUGUUUUUUUAAAUUAAACCGCAAGAAAAUUCGAAUUAAAGAAAUAAAAGAAUUAAAACAUGUUGUUUCCCCUUGAUUCACAAGCAAGUCUCUUAUCCUAGGUUACGAGAAUUUAUCCUUAAUCAGUUCAACCACUCAAUCCAACCCUAAAUUAAAUUAUUAAGCAAAAAUUAACAUAAGGCUGUCAUUAUGUGAUUAAGCAACACAUACACCAAUUAAUCAUGAACGAAACUGAUCAUUAAGCAUGAACAUAAAUUAAGCGCAGAGACAAUUAAUCAUGCACUAAGCAUGCAUGGAUUAAUAACAAUAAAUACAGAGUAAUUGGUGAAGAGGAAAAACUGAUCAAAAUUCAAUAGUAAUAACAAAACCUCAAAGAGAAGCAGAAAUGAAAUUGUAGAAAAUGAAUUUUAUUCUACGUGAAUAGUAAAAACUGGAAUUCUAAAACCCUAGAAUUAUUCUCCUCUUCCAAAAACUCCCUAAACUAAAACCUUGGUGCUGUUAUAUAGGUCCUCAGCCCCAAAGCUUACAAAUCUAUUUUAAGUCCAAGCCCAUAAACGAAAUAAAAUAAAAUUUGGACAAGAUAAGAUAAGAUUGGAUGAAAUAAAAUCUGGACGAAAUAAAAUCUAUAUGAAAUAAAAUAUGGAUAAGAUAAGAUUUGAUAAAAUAAAAUUGUCUGCUCUCUUCAAGUCCAAGCCCAAUUCCAGAUUCAAGCCCAAUUGCUUAUAAUUCUCCUGAAAUUAAAUUAAAAAAAAACAAAAUUAGUCAAGUAGGCCCAAAUGAUAAAACUGCAUAAUUAAUUUGACAAUUAAGGCUAAUCAGUAAUUAAAAUGGUGACAAAAAGGGUUAAGAAAUAGGAGAAAAUAAUGACACAUCAAUGAGUGUUGAAGAGUAUAGGCAACAAAUGGAACUACUCCUUUUGAGAGCUGAGCUUAGGGAGGCAGAAAGAACAAGUAUUGCUAGGUUCCUUAGUGGGCUUAAUAUGGAAGUGAGGGACAAGGUUGAGCUCCUUCCAUAUAGGGACCUAUAUGACCUAGUCCAACUUUGCAUAAGGGUAGAGCAACAACUUAAAAGAAGCCUACUUCAAAAUCUUAUGGGUCUCACUUUUAUCCAAAGAAAGACCAAGGUCAAGGCAUCUUAAGGGCUGCACCUUCUAGGCCCAAAGAUGAUAAGGGGAAGACAAUAGAAAGGCUACCCCCUAAGGCUAGUAUGCAAGAGAAGACUAGCUCUAUAAAAUGCUUUAAAUGUCUUGGAAGAUGACACAUUGCUUCUCAAUGCCCCACCAAGAAAACCAUGAUUAUGAGAGGCCAAGACAUUUAUAGUAGCCAAGAUGAGGUUACUACUUCACCUUCCUCUAGUGAAAGUGAAAAAGCAAAAGGGGAAGAAUUUAGUGAAGAAAUCUACCCCCAAGAAGAAGGGGACCUUCUAAUGGUCAGAAGGCUUCUAGGAGGUCAAUCUUGUGACUUGACCCAAUCUCAAAGAGAGAAUAUUUUUCUCACAAGGUUUAAAAUUUUUUUAUAACACAUGCUCUCUCAUUGUAGAUAGUGGUUCAUGUUGCAAUUGUUGCAGCACAAGAUUAGUCUCUAAGUUGAGCCUUGCUAUCACUUCCCAUCCAAAGCCUUACAAACUUCAAUGGCUCAAUGAGCAAGGGGAGAUGAUAGUCAAUCAACAAGUGAAAGUGUCUUUCUCCAUUGGAACAUAUAAGGAUGAAGUGAUUUGUGAUGUAGUUCCUAUGGAGGAAGGACACCUUCUCUUAGGUAGGCCAUGGCAAUAUGAUAGGAAAAUAAUCUAUAAUGGCCUAACUAAUGAGAUAACCCUCACCCACCUUGUAACAAAGUUUGUGUUGCAUCCUUAAACACCUUCACAGGUGGCCAAAGAUCAACUAACUAUGAAAAAUAAGAGGGAUGAGGAAGAAAAACUAGAAAAACAAAAGAAAAAGAAGGAUAGUAAGGCCUUGUCUUCAAAGGCCAAGAGGAAAAAGAUUCCUCCAAGAAGAUUGUUAAGAAGGAAAUUCAUUUUGCAACAAAAGGUUUUAUCAAAAGAGCUCUCCUUCUUAAACAAUCCUUCUACCUUCUCCUAUCAAGGGAAACCUCCCUUAGCACUACCACAAUUCCUACAUUUGAGACCUUACCCCCAAAGGUCCAAGAACUCUUACAUGAAUUUGGUGAUAUAUUUCCCAAAGAGAUACCCCUUAGGCUACCUCCUCUUAGGGGAAUAGAACACUAAAUAGACUUAGUCCCAGGAGCAAGCCUUCCUAAUAGGCCAACCUAUAGGACUAACCCUUAGGAGACUAAGGAUAUAUAGUCUCAGGUUAAAGAAUUGUUGGAGAAGGGUUGGGUCCAAGAGAGCCUAAGCCCUUGUGUUGUGCCAGUGUUGUUGGUGCCCAAAAAAGAUGGUAAGUGGAGAAUGUGUACAGAUUGCAGGGCCAUUAACAACAUUACUGUAAAGUAUAGGCACCCCAUUCCUAGACUUGAUGAUUUGCUUGAUGAGUUGCAUGGUGCCAACAUCUUUUCAAAAAUUGAUCUUAAAAGUGGUUAUCACCAAAUCAAGAUGAAAGAAGGUGAUGAGUGGAAAACCCCUUUCAAGACCAAGUUUAGUUUCUAUGAAUGGUUAGUGAUGCCUUUUGGGCUCACUAAUACACCAAGCACCUUUAUGAGGCUUAUGCAUCAUGUCUUAAGGGAUUUCAUAGGUAGAUUUGUAGUUGUUUAUUUUGAUGAUAUUUUAGUGUACAGUAGGAGCCUAGAUGAUCACUUAGGACAUCUCAGGCUAGUUCUUUUAGUCCUUAGGAAAAACACCCUCUACGCAAAUAUAGAGAAGUGUACCUUUUGUGUAGAUAAUAUAGUUUUCUUAGGGUUUGUAGUUGGUAAAAAUGGGGUCCAAGUGGACCCUGAGAAAAUCAAGGCUAUCCAAGAAUGGCCCACCCCAAAAAGUGUGGGAUAUAUUAGGAGCUUCCAUGGGUUAGCAAGCUUCUAUAGAAGGUUCGUUCCUAAUUUCUCUACAAUUGCCUCACCUCUCAAUGAGUUGGUGAAGAAGAAUGUGGCAUUUACUUGGGGUGAAAGACAAGAGCAAGCCUUUGCUUUGCUCAAAGAAAAGCUUACUAAGGCACUUGUUCUAGCUCUUCUUAACUUUUCUAAAACAUUUGAGCUAGAAUGUGAUGCCUCUAGAGUGGGAGUUGGAGUUGUAUUGUUACAAGGUGGGCACUGUCAUACCCUAAUUUCGUCCGGGGACUAUUGUUUGAUGGCAUGCAACCUUUGCUUGACCGCUUCGAGGUACUUGGCACCCAUUGUUGCACAAUCCGUGAGGUUCCGUAACAUGCCGGAAGUCAAAAGGAAGCAUUGUUGCACAAUUCGUGAGGUUCCGUAACAUUCCGAAAGCCAAAAAAGGGAUGAUUACGUAAUCCGUAAGGUUCCAUGACGUUACAAAAAGAAAAUAAGUAUCGUUACGAAAUUCGUAAAGUUCCGUAACGUUACGGAAAAAGAAUCAGCAAAAAAAGGCAGGGGGUGUAUUUAGUAAACAGGGAGGUGCAAAUAGCAACUAAGCCCACUUGGGCCUACCAGGAAGUUCCUCCAGAAGGCACCACCAGAAGGUGGUGCCUUCUGGAGGAAGCAACCUAGCUCGCCUGGGCGAGUUGGGUGGCAAGCUUCUCCCUCUUUUUCCUAUAAAUAGGGGGAGGAGGGCAGAACAAAAAUGUUCAACCCUCAUGGUAUCUGAGAAUCACUUAAAAUUAGUGAGAAAAAUUGUUUUUGUGAAGAAAAUCCAAGUCGAGGCACUUCCGUAACGCUUUCGAGACGUUUCCAUGGGCGAUUUCGCGAAGGUUUUCCACCGUUCUUCAUCGUUCUUCGUCGUUCGCCGGUCUUCAACCGGUAAGUUCCCGAAAUCGAACUUUUCAAUUCAUUCUAUGUACCCUUAGUGGUCCCCACUUGUUUCGCGUGCUUUUAUUUUCAUUUCAUUUACUUUCCGUACCCCCUUUUGACGUGCUUUAGUCAUUUAUUCAAGUUAUUUUCUCGCCUAAUCAAAAAUAAAAUAAAUUUCCACCGAUCAUUCGAAUUGUAAUAUCUUUUAAUUUUUGUUAAAAUGAAAUCCGACCGGUCGAUCAUGCCGUAACCACGUUUAAAACCAAAAAAGAGGCAAAAUAAUAAUAUAAUAAUAAAAAAAUAUCUUUUAGUAAAAUAAUCAAAAAAAUCAAUCGGACGUUUUUCUUUGGGAUUUUUCUUUCUUAAUUGAAUUGACUAAUAACUAAAGUGAAACUAAGGCUAAAAUCAACUCACAAAAUCAAGCUUUGUCCGCAAAAAUCACUGAAAACCGUUUUAAGGUCCAACGCCUUAAACGAUCCUCUUUGCUUUUAUCGGUUAACAUGGACCGUUCGAAAGCGUAAAAUCAACACAUCACUUCACUGCCUUUGGAAAGAACUACGUAGGCCUGAUUUCCUCUUCGAUGGAGGGUAGGUAGGAGCAAAAGCCCCGCUUUUGCCGACCUCAAAAAUAAAAAGAGACAAAAAAUUUUAGAUACAUGAUUUCACAAAACUCUAAUCUAAGGCUGUUGUCCUUUGGGACAAACGUGAGAGGUGCUAAUACCUUCCUCAAGCAUAAAGAUAACACCCGAAUCUGGAAUAUUUUUUAUGACCGGUUUCCUUUAGUUUUUCUAACGUUUUCCUUUUAAUAAACGUUGGUGGCGACUCCGCGCAUUUUUCUCCCAUGGAAGACGUGCUCGUGAGCCUCGCCUCGCUCGCCUGCAAAAGGGUAGGUUGCGACAGGCACCCUAUUGCUUAUUUUAGUGAAAAAAUUCAUGGUGCCACCCUCAACUACCCCACCUAUGAUAAAGAGCUUUAUGCCUUAAUAAGAGCCCUCCAAACUUGGGAACAUUACCUUGUUUCCAAGGAAUUUGUCAUUCAUAGUGAUCAUGAAUCACUUAAGUACAUUAGCGGGCAAAGAAAGUUAAAUAAAAGGCAUGCAAAAUGGAUAAAGUACCUAGAGAAAUUUCCAUAUGUUAUCAAAUACAAAAAGGGAAAAAUAAAUGAGGUAGCUGAUGCCCUCUCUAGGAGACACAGAUUUUUUUGCUCCCUAGGAGCUCAAAUUUUAGGAUUUGAUAACAUUAGGGACUUAUAUGCUUCAGAUGAACAUUUCUCUCCCAUUUAUGAGAGUUGUGGGCAAAAGGGGCAAGAUGGAUUCUAUUUGGCUGAGGGAUAUUUGUUCAAAGAAGGAAAGCUUUGCAUACCCCAAGGAUCCACCAGGAAAUUACUUGUGAAAGAGAGCCAUGAGGGUGGGUUCAUAGGUCACUUUGGGAUAGACAAGACCCUUGUCUUACUCAAAGAAAAGUUUUAUUGGCCCCAUAUGAAGAAAGAUGUCCAUAAGCAUUACACUAGGUGUGUGGCUUGUUUACAAGCCAAGUCUAGGGUGAUGCCUCAUGGGCUAUACACACCCUUACCCAUCUCAUCUGCACCUUGGGUAGACAUUAGUAUGGACUUUGUCAUUGGGCUUCCUAGAACCCAAAGAGGUGUAGACUCUAUCUUUGUGGUGGUGGAUAGGUUUAGCAAGAUGGCACACUUUAUACCAUGCCACAAGGUGGAUGAUGCUUCCCACAUCUCAAAACUCUUUCAGGGAAGUUGUGAGACUCCAUGGUUUGCCUAGGACCAUUAUGUCAGAUAGAGAUGCUAAGUUCCUUAGCCACUUCUGGAAAACCUUAUGGGCUAAGCUAGGAACUAAGCUUAUUUUCUCUACCACUUGUCAUCCACAAACUGAUAGGCAAAUAGAGGUAGUGAAUAGGUCUUUAUCCAGCCUUUUAAGGGCUCUUCUAAAAGGCAACCAUAAGUCUUGGGAUGAGUAUCUUCCUUAUGUAUAAUUUGCCUACAACAGGGGGGUUCAUAGAACCACCAAGCAAUCCCCUUUUGAGGUUGUCUAUGGGUUCAAUCCCCUAACACCCUUAGACCUCAUUCCCCUCCCACUUGACACUUCUUUUAUACAUAAAGAAGGGGAAUCUAGGUCAGAGUUUGUAAAGAAGUUGCAUGAAAUGGUUAAGAACCAAAUAGAGAACCAAACAAAGGUGUAUUCAACUAAAGACAAUAGAGGAAGAAAUGAGCUAGUUCUUAAUGAAGGGGACUGGGUUUGGCUCCAUCUUAGGAAGGAUAGAUUCCCUACUAAUAGGAAAUCCAAGAUUAGCCCUAGAGGGGAUGAACCUUUUCAGGUCUCGAAGAGGAUCAAUAACAAUGCCUGUAACACCCUGAAAUAUUAUUAGUAAUUAUAAUUGAUGUUUUAUUUUAUUUGUUGUGUUGUUUUAUCCAUGUUUUAUUUUAAAGGAGGUUAGUUUAGUUAUUAGAGGGGUGUGGGUAGUUAAAACUCUAGCUUCUCAAAGAAGCCUCACGAGGAAGCUUCUCAAGGAAGCCUCUUGAGAAAAGCUUCUCAAGGAAGCUACCUAAAGCUGUCUUGGUAAAAGUGUCCUCCUGCAUUUGUUAACCGUUGGAGCUUCUCAAAAUUUGGUCUGGAGGUUCAUAGGACAGAUGUCCAUGAUCUGACCGUUGCGAUCUGCGAUAUGUCUUCUGGUGUGUGAGAAAAGCUUCUUUUCCCGAGAGUAGAAACACUUGAGUGUUUCAAGUCUUAUUUUUCGUGUAGCCUUGGAAAACAACCAUUCAUUUCUCCUUCUUUCUUCCAAAACCCUUCCCCAACGUCCUAAGCUUCUUCUCCACCACCCACAACCACCGGUGGCCACCACAGACCAUCGUUUUUCUCUGUUGAAACCCCACACCGAGAGGAACCCUUUAAUCGGAGUGAAAUCUUCUAAGCUUGUCUCGCGGUUUCGGUAGAGAACGAAGCCCAAUCUGACCUUCACGAUUUUCUUCAUGGUAACCGUGAUUCUAUGCUUGUUCCUUGUUAGUUUCAACUUGUCUUUGCAUCUUUUCUAACUUUGGAACCACCAUUGUAUAUUUUAUGUGUCCUUUGAAAAACCCUAGAGAAAGAGACUUUGUAAGCGUUAUCUUUUUCUGAAAUGGGUGUUAUUUUUGUGACCUUCACUGAACCCCGAUCGCAUUGGCAGGAUCGGAAUUUCAAAAUGAUGUUCCUUUUGUAGAAUCCGAAAUGCCCUUAGCCUUUUCAUGUAGUGACAUGAGUAUUUGACUCAGAGUAUUGUUAUUAACUUUAUUUUUGAAAUCCAUAGUAAUUUCCUUCAUUUUGGUGCAGUAGAGACUUGCGUUGGACCGACAAGUGUGAACCAGAGAAAGGCUUCUAAGUGACGCAAAGAGGAACCGAUUGGGAGCUCACGAUAAGUGAGGGGAGUUUAUUAUAAAAUUUACCAUUUUGACACCAUAGUUAGGGUCAGGGAACCUAGCUAUGAGAAUAUAUGUUUGUCCUUGUUGCAUGCUGAUUUUUCUUUAUAGAAAACAACGUUUUUAACUAAUGGGAUGCGAUAUAUUUAUUGUUGAUGAAUGGAAUUAUUGUCUUUAUUUGACUUGUGUUGUUUGAAGACCUAGGGAGUGUGAAUCUCAGGCAUGAAAGAAAUAUGUAUAUGCGGAAUGCGACUUACUGUUGAUGUUACUAUUGAUGACUUUAAUUGAUAUGUGGUGAUGUUGAUAUUUAUGAUGAUAUUGAUUUGAGAUGAUGUUGCUAAUGAAGAUCAUGUCAACAUGAAUUGAUGUUACUAUUGAUGAUUAUGUGAAUAUGAAAUGAGGUUGUUAUUGUUGUUGAUAGCGCCAUUGAGAUGAGAUGAUGUUUAUGUUGAGAAUGAUAUUGAAAUGGAAUGUUGAUGAUGUUGGAAAUGCAUUGAGAUGUGCAUGUUUUGUAUGUUCAUGGGGGGUGUAGUGACCUUGUCGGAUGCCCCUUGUGUGGGAAACUAGAGUGGUUAAAGAAUUUAAGCAUUUCUGAGGGGAUGCUUAGGCGCUUUAAUUCGUCCAUGGUCAUGUACUUGACGACGCCCGUGUUUCAUACGUUGGAUGUUGUGUAUGUUCGUGGGGGGGGGGGGGGGUGCAGUGACCUUGUCGAAUGUGCCUUGUGAGGGAAACUAGAGUGGUUAAAGAAUUUAAGCAUUUCUGAGGGGAUGUUUAGGCGCUUUAAUUCAUCCAUGGUCAUGUACUUGACGAUGCCUACGUUCAUACGUCGUAUGUUGUGUAUGUUCAUGGGGGGAGCGCUGACCUUGUCGGAUGUCCCUUGUGGGAGAAAAUAGAGUGGUUAAAGGAUUUAAGCAUCUCUGAGGGGAUGCUUAGGCGCUUUAAUUCAUCCAUGGUCAGGUACUUGAUGACGCCCAUGGUUCAUGCCACAUAUGACACGGGAAAUAGUAUAAAUUAUGGCAGUAUGUACUUUGUACUAUGGGGUGUCUCACCUGGUUGGGAACUCCCUUGUGGCCCAAGCUGAUCACCGAAGGGUGGGGGGGAGUUACGGUGCACGACUAGGUGGCCUCGACAAAUACUGCAUGGUUUCCUAAGUGAGGUGUAGUGUGGACACGCUUAGGCUAUUCCCUUGGUAUUGGAUACAGUAUGUAUCGCAUUUCAUCUGAGAGUUAAGGUCAGGUGUAUGCAUUAUUUUGAGCAUAACUGAUUGGAUCCAUGGAUGGAUGAUGAAUAAUUGUUUGAUGUGUGUGUUGAUUAACAAAUGUUAUGUAAGCUCAUGAUGUUUGUCUAUGUUCUCUUACUAAUUGUGGUUAUUUGGAUUUAGUAUUGGUUCUUUUUAUAAUGAAAUCACCCUUGCAAUUUUGUAUCAUGUGGUUGAUACUUGUGAUGAUCGCGAGCCUUGUUCGUGGGAGCAGGAUGACAUCAGUAGGGUGCAGGAAGUGAGAUUCUGUUGAGGAGCCGCCGAGCCGACGUGAUGGCGUUAGGAUUAUUUUGGGAGAGAUUUGUGUUUUGUUAAUCAACUCCUCUAUAAUUAGUUCAUGAUUCCUUUUGUUGAACUAAAGAUGUAAAGCUCAAAUUUUUAAUUAUAUGUAUGAACAAGUUUAAUUUCCAUUAUGUGUAUAACGUGUACUGAGUUACUAUUACUAUAUAUAUAUGUGUGUGUGUGUGUGUGUGUGUGUGUGUGUGUGUGUGUGUGUGUGUGUGUAUUUACCUAAGUAAUGGUGUGUUGUUUGGUGAAUGUAUGUCGAGACAAAUAUUACUUUUAUUUUUAUAAGCAAAUUAAGGGAUUUUUCAUUUAAAAAUUGAAAUUAUCGCAUAUUAGAGUGGUGAUAUCGUAGCGACGAGGCGGGUCGUUACAAUGCCUAUAGGUUGGACUUCCCAGAACAGUAUGGAGUUAACACCACUUUUAACAUUUCUGAUUUAAUUCCUUUUGUAGGUGAAGCUGAUAUUCAGGAGGAGGAACCAAUAGAUUUGAAGUCAAAUCCUCUUCAAGGGGGAGGGGAUGAUGCAAUCCUCCCUAGGAAGGGACCAGUCGCAAGAGCCAUGAGCAAGAGGCUCCAAGAGGAUUGGGCUAGAGCUGCUAAAGAAGACCCUAGGGUUCUCAUGAAUCUCGGGGUAGAUUUCUGAGCCCAUGGGCCAAGGUGGGGUCCACUUAUCUUCGUACAUAUUAGACUAGAAUUUCAUUAUUUUUGGUCCUUGUAUUUAGGGCUCCAUAAUAUAGGUAGGGUACCUUAGAAAUGUAGGAUUUUUCAGCCAUUGUAUUUUAGGGCACCUAGACUAGUUUUUGUAUUAGGGGUAGUUUUAUAAUUUCACAUGGAUUAAGUGAAUAUUUGAUGUGUGUGUUGGGAAAUAAUUUUAAUUGAAUUGGGAGAAGCCCAAUCCAAUUAAAUUUUAGAGGGGGAGGUGAGCAUUUGCUUGCUACACCCCAUUGCCACAUCAUAUAGUCAUACUUUGUGCAUGUCCUUCAUGCUUUACAUGCCUCAUGACACCUAAGCACACUUAGUGGAGAAUCUUGGACUUGAUCUUGGAUUAUUGGGCUGAACCAUAACUAAAAUUCACUAAUCAUAAUUAGUGAUUAGUGAAAUUUUGGCUCCAAAAUUUGGCUCCACAAAUUCAAUUUCAAAUUCAAGUGAAAUUUGAAUAGAAAUUCAAAUUUCCCUCCAAUUUUGUGUGACACUUAGGCUAUAAAUAGAGGCCAUGUGUGUGCAUUUUUUGAACUUUGAUCAUUUGAGAAUUACACUUCAAAGUUCAGACCUCAUUUGAGGCACAAAAUUUCGUGCUCCUUCUCUCCUUUUCCCUCCACUCAUCUUCUCCUACCUUCAAGCUCUUAUCCAUGGCUUCCUAUGGUGGUAAGCUUGUUCUUGACUCAUCUUCUCCUUGAAGUGGCAUCUCCAAUUAUCUUUCUUCCUUCUCCAUUCCGCUGCUAUUCAUCUUCAAGAAGCAAAGGACUCCAUUGACGAAGAAGAUCCAAGGCCUUCAAGCUCCACAUGGAGCUACAUCAAGUUUGAAUUUGCAAUUAUAUUGAAUAUAUGUGAUACAUAAUGAUCAUAUUUGGUUUGAACAAAAUUACCUCUCUUAAAGGACACUUAUGGUUUCUACUAAAAAAUAGAAUUUAUGUUUUAACACAUAAUUUAAAUGAGAUGUUUUAUUUGACCAAUUCGAGCUUUCAGUUGUAGCUCUAGUGAGUGUCCAUUUGAUUUAGAAUUUGAUAAAAGUGAUUUUGAAAUAUUUAAUGUGAUUGAGAUGUGUGCUUAAAUUAAUCCGACAGUGACUAAGUUCUUUAGUUUUAAUACCGAUUGACAUUCUAUCUUAGCCCCCUUUUAGAAAACAUGAGAUGAGAUUCCACAAAUUUUUGGUAAUGAACUAGCAAAUGAGAUUAAUAAUCUCAAGCUCACAUUUUAUUUUACUUCAAAGUCUAUGUAGUCCUGAACAUAAAUUUUGAAACAAAAGGCUUUAUUCUCAACUAGAAAGUAGAAACCAAGUAAAGCCUCAAUCUAAAUAGGGAAUUAGUGAAACUAAGGGGACCAAAUGUCUCAAUAAAAAUCCAGGGAGACCAAAAUUGUGAAAUUGUAAAAUUAGAGGGAUCAAAAUUAUAGUUUAGCCUUUCUUUAAAGUUUAAAAAGUCUCUCACUAUUUGCUUUAGGCCUCCCUUUUUGUUGGCCUGACCCUGAUUCUUAUCCCUAGAAUUCGUGAAUUGUAUGUCUCAAAUUCUCAGCUUCCUACUCAAGAUUUGAUUUUUCAAUUAUCACCUCAAGUAUAUGACCAUUCAAUUGACUUUCAUCAAAGCAUAGAGAACAUAAAUUAAUUGCAAAUAUGAGAGUUAAGAAUAUAAAUAGAAUAAUAAAUCUAAAAUUUCAUAAUUGAAGUAUUCAAUCUUUGAUGAAAAACCAUAAAGUCUUAGUGCAAGAUUGAAGAUCAACAGAAGAUUCAAAAUACACUUCAUAUAUAGUGUAUGAUUGAGUACAAAGCACAACGAAAAGAUUUGUAAGGACAAUCGUCAAUCAUGAAAAUAACCAUGCGUUACAGAGAAGUAUUAGAGUAGGGUAUCUCCUAGUGUGCUUCAAAGACCAACCUAUUGAAAGUUGGUGGACAUGUUACCUCUCGAACAUUGAUGAGGACAAGGAGUAAUCGUAUGUGCAAAAAAAAAGAGUAACAGACAAACAACGACUCUUGACAGACUUAUGAGAGAGUACAAAAUAUGUCAAAAAAGUUUCAUAAGAAGUGUGUGAGAGUACAAAAUAUGUCAAAAAGUCUUGUGUUGGUUUGUUGUAAAGGUCAUCAAUCUUGAAAGGUCAAGUGUUACACUCUAGAUAUCACACUUGUGAAAUUUCAAUCCCUUCAUCGAUCUUCUAUUAAAAAAUUUGUUGAUGCGAUAAUUGAUGCGCUGCCUAAAAAAUAAUAAUAUGCUUUAAUUACACUUUUGGUCUCUCUAGUAUCAAUAAUAUUAAAUGGGAGAUUGAUGGAGGGAACAAAUUCACACAUUGCAAUUCUGGAAUGGUCCAAUUUCCACAACUAAAAUUACACAAAUGUAAUACUUGUAAUGUAUGACUCUUCUCAUUUGGUCAAACUAGCUUAUAAACUAGUCAAAUGAGCUCAUAAGCUUCUUGAGUGCCUUACUAUUUAACUUACUUGACAACUUUUCAAAGGUUUAAAUAUGUUUUCCGUCCUUGUAAAUAUACCAAAGUUCAUUUCUUUCCCUGCAAACUUUUUGGCUAUUUUUCGUCCUUGUAAAAUUAUAAUGUGCUACUUUUUGGCCCAAAGUUAGGUUUGGAUGACUUUGAAUCUAUUUGAUCCUGUGUGGUGUUUAUGUAAUUUUUGGGGGUUAGAAACCACCACAAAUUGAUUUAAAGAAAUGCAAUAAUCAAAACAUGAUGUUGUCUCGGAUCCAGAAAGCAAAACAUGAAAUGCCAAAGUUUGAUCAAGAAAAAAUACAACAAAAUCAAAACAUGAGCACGAAAGAAGCCAAAAUUUAUAGAGUGAUCACUAGAUCUGGACGGUGGUAGUGGUGGUGUUGGAGGUGGGUGAUGGCGGCAUGAAGGUGGCACAAAGGCUUGAAGGUGGUACGCCGUGUUUAGGUCGCAGAAGGUGGCAUGAAGGCUUAGAUUUUUUGGAUUUGAAUGUUUUGGGUUUGGAUUUGGACAAAGAUGAUGAUUUAUGGGGUGGAUCUGAUAGCUGGUGGUGGUGUUAGAGGCGAGUGUUCGUGGAAGAGGUUCAAAAUGACAUAGAGAGGCAUCAGAGGUGGUGAACAUAGUGGAAGGAUCAUUCCAAGUGGUGAAUGCGGUGGUUGCAGCAUCAGAGAGCAAAGGCACCGCAAAUUACGAGCUUGUGGAAGCCAAGAUGAGACAAAGAAGCACAAUGUGGGAGAAGAACAAAUGAAGGAGAGCGGUGUAGGGGAAGAACAAGUGAGGGAGAAAGGGAAAGAAAAAUAGAGCUACAUGUAUCCAGUUUUUAGUGGACAUCCAUUUGAAACGUAGGUUCGAAUCAAUCCAACUCUGGCUUCGAGACAAAAAGUAACACAUUAUAAUUUUACAGGAAUGAAAAAUAAACAUAAAUUUUUGCAGCAAUGAAAUUCAAACUUUGGUAUAUUUACAGGAGCAAAAAACAUAUUUUAGUCAUUUUUAAAUUCAUCAUGCAGGGACAGAUAAACUUUGUUACUUGGACCCCUAAGUUUUUUUUUGUAUUAAUUUUUUAAUAUAUAUAAUAUAAUAUUUUAAUAUAGACUAAUUAUUUCAAUCCUAAAAUAUAUAGUAAUAAAUCCUAUUGAGAUAAAUAAUGACAUUUAUGUAUCAUUUAUUUAUUUCUUAUUUUUUGAUAAAACAUUUCAUUCAUAAUCCUUUUUAUAGUUUUUAUAUAUUGUUAAAAUAAUGAUAUUUCCCCCACUUUUUAGAUAAAUAUUUUAGUUUCCUUUUGUAAUAUUUAUUUUUGUUAAUAAUUAUAUUUUUUGCUUUAGAUAAAUUAUUUGAAUAUCAUUUAUUUUACUUUUCAUCUGUAUCUUUUGUUUAUCAUUUGUUAUUUUUAUUUUAAAGACUAUAAAUAAUUCCAUUUAAUUAUUAAUGUAACGCCUUGAAAUUUCGCUAACUAUAAAUCGAUGUUUAAAUGUAUUUAUUGUGUUGUUUGAUUAUAUGAUUGAAUUGAAUAAGUUGAGGAAUGAUGUGAAUUAGACAAGUGUGGUUUGCUUGAUGUGGAUGUUGAGUUAUGUGGAGUUUUAUUGACCUAAGCUGAAAUUAUGAGAUUUCAAAUUUUACCUAAACCUAUUCCAAUAAAACUGUGACCCUGGAUUCUUUAACCGUUGAAUCAUCUUCAAAUUUAGACCGUAGGUUUCUAACACAUGUCCCCCCAAUUUGCCGUUGGGAUUUACAAAUUAACAAUUUUUUACCUCUCCUUAGCGCGAGAAGUGCGCUAAGCGCAAUUCCAACCUGAGAGAGAAUUGCAUUGAGUGCGAAUUAUUGCGCUUAACACAAGAGGAAUUGCGCUCAGUGUGAAUUGUCGCGCUUAGCGCAAAUCCCAACCCGAGAGGAAUUGUGCUAAGCGCAAAAAUUUGCGCUUAAUGCCAAAAGUGGACUCCGACUUAACGAGACGAGCUCGCUUAAUGAGAUUUGUAGAUUAUAAAAUUGAUGUUAUUUACAUGACCUUCACUAAAUCCCAAUCACAUUGGCGUGAUCGAAAUUUCAAAAUGGCGUCUCCUUUUAGUAGAAUCCGAAACACCCCUUAGCCAUUUAUGUUUUGAUAGGGGUAGUUGACCCCAAAUGUUGUUAUUAACCUUAUUUUUUAAAUCUAUACUAAAUUUUGCUUCAAUUUGGUAUAUAAAACCUUGCAUUUGGACUGACGAACGUGAACAAGAGAGGUCUCUGAGCGAUGCAAAGAGGAACUGAUGGAGAGGUUACGAUAAGUGAGGGGAGUAUAUUAUAAUUUUUGGUGCAUGCUCGUUUUCAAGAAAAAUAAUGUUUUUGACUAAUGGGAUGUGACAUUAUUGUUUUUAUUAGACUUGUGUUGUUUGAAGACCUGGGGAGUGUGAAUCUCAAGCAUGAAUUAUAUAUGUAUGUAUAUGCGGAAUGUGAUUUACUGAUGAUAUUAUUAAUAAUGAUAUUAAUUGAUAUGAGGUGACAUUAAUGUUUAUGAUAAUAUUGAUAGAGAAUGAUGUUGUUAUUGAAGAUGAUAUUGAUAAUGAUUGAUAUGAGACGACAAUGUUUGUGUUUAUGAUAAUAUUGAUAUGAGAUGAUGUUGAUGUUGAGAAUGACAUUAAUAUGAGAUGAUGUUGAUGUUGAUAAUGACAUUGAGAUGAGAUGUUGCUGAUGUUGAAAAUGUCAUUGUAAUGUAUAUGUACAUGGGGGGCGCAGUGUCCAUGAUGUAUAUCCUUGGUGGGAGAAANNNNNNNNNNNNNNNNNNNNNNNNNNNNNNNNNNNNNNNNNNNNNNNNNNNNNNNNNNNNNNNNNNNNNNNNNNNNNNNNNNNNNNNNNNNNNNNNNNNNUGGAUAGAGAAAAGUUUAACUUUAGCCAUAUAGUUCUUGUAUUUUUCUCUGGGGGGGGAAUUCUUUACCUUGGGGAAAAAACACUUAUUUGAAAUACCUUUAAAACUCAGGUUGGUCACCAAAGAGGGUUUGGGGGGGGGGGGAGGGGAGUUGCCUAUGCACGACAAGGUGACAUCGAUACUUGCUGUCUAGUUUUCCUAAGUGAGAGUGUCGUGUGGACACACUUAGGCUAUUUCCUGACGAAUGGUAUCACAUUGCAUUUGAGAGUUGAGGUUAGGUGCAUGCAUCAUAUUGAGCAUGCUUGAUUAUAAUUAUGGAAGGUUGAUGACUACUAGUUGAGUGUAUGUUGGACUAAUAGAUGUUUGUGUAUGAUUAUGGUAUUUGUUAAUGCUUUCUUACUAAUCAUGGUCAUUUUAUUUUUGUGUUAAUUUAUUUUAUAAUAAACUCACCCUUGCAAUCUUUUUUACCAUGUGGUUGGUACCUGUGAUGAUCGUGAACCUUUGUUUGUGGGAGCAGAAGGACAGUAGUAUAGUACGUGAAAUGAGAUUCUUUUGUGGAGUCGUCAAGACGACAUGAUGACGUUGAAAUUAUUUUGGGAGAGUUGUGUUUUGUUAAUCAACUCCUCCGUAGCUGAUUCUAUAUUCUUUUUGAAUUAAGGAUGUAAAUCAUAAAUUUAAUUAUAUAUAUGAACUAAUUUACUUUCUAUUAUGUGAAUGAUGUGUACUGAGUUACUAUAUAUAUAUUCAUUUAAGUAAUUGUGCAUUGUUUGGUGAAUGUAUAUCGCGAAAAAUUUACUCUCAUUUUUCAUAAGCAAAUUAACAGAGUUUUCAUUUAAAAAUUGAAAUUUACGCGGUUUAGAGUGAUGAUAUCGUAGCGACGAGACAGAUCGUUAGAAUUAAUAUUUCUUUUAUAUUGAUUUGAUUAUAAAUGAUUUAAGAAUUAAAAGUUAUUUAUAAAAAUUUACUAAUGACAUAAGCUUGAUUACAAAACUAUUCGAAGGAUUGACGACUUGAGGUUUGUUGAGACAUACUAGUAAAUAUUUUGUUUUUCAAUGUCUUCUUCAUAUAUUCAUUCUCCUCUUGUCUUUUUUUUUUUUAGGGGAAGAAGGGUAUUGUUUGUGAGAGUGACAUGCUUUGAACUUGAAUGCAUGGGUCCAAACAUAUGGUUAAGUAAAUCUUGAAAACCAAAUCAAAUAUUAGUUAGGUUGCAUAGUGAUCUGUCAAAAUUUUAUUUUAGGACAAUGAUUCAAUACUUGCAUUUUGUGACAUGUAAACUUGAUGAUAAACUUUUGUUAUCUUAAGUUUUUGAAAAUGUUUAAUUUAUCUUUGGCUUAAAUAUAUAUUAUCAAUAUUUUAAUUAAUUACUAAUAUAAUUAUAGUAAAAAAAAACUACUAAUGUAAUUAAUAUUUUAGAUCUUAUAAAAUAUUUAUAUGAAAUUUAAAAACAUAAAUGAACCGUAGUUAAGUUUUCUCCCUGAAAUUUAAUUGAUUUAAAUAUGUUUUUACAUCAUAUAAUAUCCUAUUUUGUUAUUUUAGUCCUAAUAUUUUUUUUUUCAAAAUGGUCCUUGCAAAAAUUCUUUUUUAUUUUUGUUUUGAUCAUUGUUAUUUUAUUUUAGUUCUUAUAUAUACAAUAUUUUUUAGUUCUCAUAACAUUUUUUUUUAUCAUUUUUGAUUAGUUGCCUUUAAAAAAAUUUAGAUGGACUAAAAAAAAUAAUUUACAUAUUACAAUGAUUAUAUAUAUAUAUAUAUAUAUAUAUAUAUUACAAGGAAUAAAAUAAAACAAUGAUCAAAAGAAAAAAUAUAUGUACAAAUCAUUUAAUUUUUUUAUAAAUAUCCAUACUAAAGUUAAGGUUAACAUGUGUCGCAACCUACCCUUUUGCGGGCGAGCGAGGUGAGGCUCACGGGUGCAUUUUCCAAAGGAGGAAAAUGCACAGAGUCGUCACCAAUGUUUAUUUGUGGAAAACGUCGGAAAAAUCGAAGGAAACCAGUCAUGAAGAAUAUUCCAGAUUCGGGAGUUGUAUUUACGUUUGAGGAAGGUAUUAACACCUCUCACGUUUGUCUCAAAGGCAAGAGGUUUAAUUUUAGAAUUGUGUGAAAUUGUGUACCUAAACUUUUAUUUCUUUUUUAUUUUUGAGGUCGACAAAAGCGAGGCUCUUGCUCCUACGUACCCUCUAUCAAAGAGGAAAUCAGACCUACAUAGUUCUUUUUUAAGGGUGAAUCAAGCGAUUCUUUUUACUUGGAAGGUGGUCAUUUUAAGGCGUUGGACCUUAAAAAUGAUCCUUUUUACUUGUUAAGAAAAACUGAGGUAUUGAAUCUUAAAAUCCUUUUUUAGUGAUUUUUCACGGACGAGCUUGACUUUGCGAGUUGAUUUUAGCCUUAGUUUCACUUUAGUUAUUAGUCAAUUCAAUUAAGAAAGAGAAAUCCCAAAGAGAAACGUUCGAUUGCUUUUUUUUUGGUUUAUUUUACUAAAAGAUAUUUUUUGAUUAUUAUAUUAUUAUUUUACCUCUUUUUGGUUUCCAACGUGGUUACGGCAUGACCGAACGGUCGGAUUUCAUUUUAACAGAAAUUAACGGAUAUUACAAUUCCAAUGAUCGGUGGAAAUUUAUUUUAUUUUUUGAUUAGGCGAGAAAACGGUUUAAACGAUCGGUUAAAGCUCGUCAAAAACGGAAGAAAAGAAACCAAAAUUGAACAAAAUAAAAAUGAAAGCCAAGAAACAAGAAAUGAAUUAAAAGUCUCGGAUUUGGAAACUUACCCGUUGAAGAACGAAGAACAGAUGAAGAACGGUGAAUAACGGAGGAAAACCUUCACGGAUUUGCUUACAGAAACAUCUCGGAAGCGUUACGGAAGCACCUCAGCUUGGAUUUUCUUCACGGAAAUAAUUUUUUUCACCCAAAAUAGCUGAAAUACAUCACCAGGGGGAUUCGGGACCCUUAGAACAGCCCCCUUCAGCCUAUUUAUAGGAAAAAAGGGGAGGAGGUUGCCGCCUAGCUCGCCCAGGUGAGGUGGGUUGCUUCCUCCAGAAGCAAUCCAGCUUCGAAAAUACUCUGGAAGGCCCAAUUUCAAAAUUUCAAAAUUGCUAUUUGCACCCUCCAUUUUUGAUAAGUUCACCCCCUUCUUUUGUAAUUUACGGAAAAGUUAUGGAAGCCUUACAAAAGCCUAUAGGACUUGAUUUUCUUCUUUUUUUUCUCUUCCUUCUCACCCAUAUUAAGUGAAAUAUGCUUAUUUAGGGUUAUGGGAAUUUUACGGAAGCAUUACGGGUGUCCCUGAAGCCCCGGAAGCCCAUUUUGUAACAAAACAGGGGAGGUGGUUGCCACCUAGCUCGCCCAGGCGAGCUCAGCUUGCCCAAGCGAGUUAGGUUGCUUCCACCUUAAGCAAGAAAUUGCCCAGGAACCUGUAGAAGGGCCCAGAUUUGAAAAUUACUAUUUGCACCCCCAUUUUACUAAAUACACCCCCUUUGCUUUUUUUGGUGAUUCUUUCUCCGUAACGUUACAGAACUUUACGAAUUCCGUAACAAUGCUUGUUUUCCUCCCGUAAUGUUACGGAACCUCACGGAUUACGUAAUCAUCCCUUUUUUUGGCUUCCGGAACGUCAUGGAACCUCACGAAUUGUGCAUCAAUGCUUUCUUUUGAUUUCCGGGGUGUUAAGGAAUUUCACGGAUUGUGUAAUGAUGCUUCCUUUUGAUUUCCGGCAUGUUUCAGAACUUCACGUAUUGUGCAACAAAGGGUGCUAAGUACCUCGAAGCGAUCAAACAAAGGUUACAUGCCAUGAAACAAUGGUCCCCGGACGAAAUUAGGGUAUGACAACAUGAAUUAUGUUCGAUAAGGUAUUUCAACUAACUUUUAAUUUGAUUUGCUAGCUGAAAGGUUUGUUUAACUAUUCGUUAAAUAAAUUGUUUUUAGUAACUCUUUUAGUAGUUGUUAACGUGUUAACAUUCUGAAGCACUACUUAAAGUAGUGUUUUUAAAACAUUAACUUCUUACUUUUUAUAUUUUUUUUAUUUUUAUUUUUAAUAUAUUUAUCUCAUUUCCUAAUUACUAUUUUAAAACAAAUUAUGGUUUUAUUUUAUUUAUUUUAUUAUUUUAUAUUUUUCAAUUAUUUUAAGAGUUAAUUUUAAUAAAUACUUAUAAUUUAAUAAGUUAGUUUUUUAAAUUUUAAUUAACUUUGCUGAACAUAAUCAUGGUGGUUGUAGGAAAAAGGAAAAGAAAGUGAUGAAUUUAAAUUUCUCUUACUAAAUAAAAAGUAAUAAACUAAUAAUAACAUUCACCAAAUGAAAAAAUUUAAUAAGACUCCAAACUAAAAAAAACAUUUGAUAUUGAUUAAAACAUAUUUAAAUCUAUGGAAUUCUAGUUCUAUCUUGUCAUCAUGAUAUUAUGAUUACAUGCAAUUAUGAAAAGAUUUUUCUAAGAUGAAAUAUUUGUGAGUGGACAUAAAUCCACUUCAUUUUGAUACACAACCAAUAAAAAAAUUAAUAAAUGAUAAAAUUUAAAGAAAAAAUGUUCCAUAAUUUAUUAAAUUUAAUUUGAUUAAUUCCUUCUAAUAAAUGCUGAUGAAUAUUUUUUCUUUAUAUUUUACAAUUGGUUGUGUAUAAGAAUGAAUCAACGGGUUUGCAAAUUUUGUUUUUGAAAAUUCAUAUUUUGUUUAUCCUGAGGAUUUUUUUUAAAUUCCCUGUUAAAGUGCAAAGUUUCUUCCAUCGUCUACAAUAAACAAUGUCAUGUAUCUUCACUUUUCCUCAUUCUUCAACUCGGAAUUCUUCUCAAGAAUGAAGUUCAGUGAUCCAAACUUCGAAUGGGGUUCUUAAAGCUUCUCUCGUAGGAUCUAAACUUCUGAUCCUUCUUCUACUUUUUUGCAGCAUUUAUAGGAGUCAUUUAGCCGUAAAAGAUCAGUCUUUUUUAAAUAUAAUAUUAGUAAAAUAUUUAUAGAUUUUUUUAAUUAUUAAUUUCUAUCAGAAAAUUUGAUUAAUCACUUAUCCUUGAGAGAAUUUUUUCUCAUAAUUAUUUUUUUCUUCAAAAGAUUCAAAUCUAUGGCCUAACUAAAAAGGACUCAGCCCUAUUCUCCUUGUUUUAUGAUUCCUAAAAAAUUCUGCAAAAAUUAUGAAACACAAAAAAGUAUUUUCAUCAUGCACUGCUAUUGCUAAUUAAAUAUAUGCAGCUAUGAUAACUAGAAUGCUACGCAAGCUGUCAAUUAAAAUUCAGAAUUUCACUCAGUCCAUGCAUUCCAUAAAAUUCAUUUUCAAUAUUUCAAACAAAAAAAUGCAGUAGUUGAUUUAUUUAUAAGAUACAAUUACUUAAUUAUCAAGAUUACGAAAAACUGUUAAUUUAAUUAAUAACAAUAAAUCUAUCUUAAAUUUAUAAUUUUUUUAAAACUAUUUUUGUCAUUAUUUCUUUCUCUACUAAUUGUUUGUUUAUAUCUUAUCUUUCUUCUUUCAAAGAAAGAUAUUAUUGAUUUAAAAAUAAUUAUUGCAAGAAAUAUUGUAAAUUGAAUCUUAUAAAAAAUAUCAUCAUCAUCUCAAUUUUAAAUUUUAUAAAUAAGAAUAGAAAAAUUACAUUGUAUUCAAUGGUAUAAGCAGCAGAGAGUGUGUUGUGCACCUAUAUUAAUGACUGAUCUUAAUUCAAAAUAGUCUAAGAGGAUCAAAUAAUACAUUAACAGAAUCAAUUCGUAACCAACUCAAGUUUAGUGAAUUGCAUUUGCAUAACAAUCUAUCAUACAUACCAAAGUUAUUACAUAUGCAUAUCAAUCAAGCAUUAGUUUGCAAAUUAUCAAAUCUAUCUCAGCAUAUGAAGAUAUCAGCCAAUUGAUUCAUAUGCAUCCAAGGUUCAGAAUCAACACAACUCAAUCUCCACUUAUUCAUAGACUGAAGAUUCUACAAAUCAACACAUGCAACUCAAUCAUCAAAUUAUGCCUGCGUCUCCUGCCAUCCAUCUAAUGUUCAGAUAUUCGAGCACGAAACUAGCUAGGUCAGUUCAUAUACAGCAUUAUAUAUUCAAGGCCUCAUUUUAAUUCAACCAUAUUUUCAUUAAGAGACCAUAGUAGUUUCAACACUAAUUAAUUGUAUUAGAGUUCAAAAGAAGAAAAUGUUGAAGUUUGGAGUCUUUGAAAAGUUUGUUUUGAUAAGUCCAUUCAUGUAAUAAGUGUGCCACCGGUAAGGUUUGAAAAAAACCUUUUCUAUUUCUAUUUUUUUAUUUUUGUUUUAAAAAAUUAAUAUAGAAAAUAGUUUUUUUUAAAGAAAAUGUAGAAAAUAAGAUUGAAUCCACAAGUAAUAAAUUGAAUCCACGGGACCAUAUUUUAUAAUUAUCAAUUUAUCGUAUUUUAAAAACAUAAAAUAAGAUAUUUUAUUUGAUUGGAAAAAGAAAAUAUUUAGAUUAAAAUAAAAAGGAAAAGUAAAUUAAAUUAAAUUAAAGAAAGAAUUACAAGAAUUAGAUAAAAUAAAACAAAAAUGGGAGUUUCACACUGUAGAAACAAAUAACACAAGAAGGGGGAUUGAAUUGUGUUAUUUAGAAAUUUAAAAAUUUUCUUAACACUGAAAAACAUAUUUAUCGUUUGAUGAAUAUAAAUAAUAUUAGACGAUGAAAAAAUAGUUUUAUUUAAAAAGAAGAUGUAAAAUCUAAAAAUAAAUUCAAAACUUUUGUUUGUUAAACUAGAAAACACACAAAUAAUUUAUAUUAAUUCGUGUCAACCUCUCAAAACUACAUCUAAAUUCUUGGCAUCCAUCAAAUUUACACUAACUUAUCAAAAUUACAAGUAUUUUUUACUGUCACUUUUGACUCUUACACUUGCAAACUCUAUCUCAAGCUUGGCUUAAACAUAAUAUUCUUUGUCCUACCAAGCCGAUAUUGGCUCUAAACAAAUCUACUAGAUUUGUUUGAAGAUUAUACACAGACUAAAAAGUAUGAUAGUCUUACAUACAUAUAUAUCACUUUACACUUUUAGUCUUUUCUUUCAAGAUAUACAAGAUGUUUUGAGAGUGUUUUUUUUUUUUUUUUAUCUUUACAGGAAUUUAUAGUAAGCUUUACAAGAAGGAAUGAAAAGAAUAAUUCGCAUAGAUGAUUCAUGUCUUGUUUCUUCAAAGCUUCUUUUAUAUAUAGUAUUCAUCUCCAAGUCUAUGUUGUAGAAGCAAGCUUCAUGAUGAUGAAUCAAGUAUGAUUCAAGUAGUUUUGAUGAUGACAAAAAGCCCAAAAGAAUGAUGUCAAGAUUGAGUCAACAAGUUCAAGAUCAAGAUUAAAGAAAAGACAUCAAGAAGAAUCAAGAUUCAAGAAAAGAUGAAUUCAAGAUUUAAGAGAAGAAACCAAAAAGCAACAAGUCAAGACUUCACAAGGGAAGUAUUGAAAAAGAUUUUUCAAAAACCAAACAUAGCACAAUUUUGUUUUACAAGAAAAGUUUUUCCAAAUUUUUCUAAGUUACCAGAGUAUUUACUCUCUGGUAAUCGAUUACCAAUUACCUGUAAUUGAUUACCAGUGGUAAAGUUUGAUUUCAAAAGCUUUUAACUGAAUUUGUAACAUUCCAAAUGUUUUUUAAAUGGUGUAAUCGAUUACAAUGUAUUGGUAAUCGAUUACCAGUAUAUCUAAACAUUGAAAUUCAAAUUCAAUUGUGAAGAGUCACAUCUUUUCAUAAAAUGCUUUGUGCAAUCGAUUACAUGGUUAUGGUAAUCGAUUACCAGUGACAAGUUCUGAAUAAAAAGUCAAGAGAUGUAACUCUUCCAAUGGUUUUCUCAAGAUUUUCUCAAGGUUAUAACUCUUCUAAUGGUUUUCUUGACCAGAUAUGAAGAGUCUAUAAAAGCAAGACCUUGACUUGCCUUUCAAUAACUCUUACAACUUUUAAGAAUUUCUUGAACAAAUUUUGAGAAAUCUUGAAACCUUUGCUUCUCAUCUUUCUUCUUCUUCCUUUGCCAAAAAGCUUUCUAAGUUUUUUGUUUUCCAAACCUUGUUCUUCUACAGAAAACAAAAGUGUGCUAUAUCUUUUCAUUCUCUUCUCCCUUUGCCAAAAAGAAUUCAACAAGGACUAAUCGCCUGAAUUCUUUUUGUGUCUCUCUUAUCCCUUUUCCAAAAGAACGAAGGACUAACCGCUUGAAUUCUUUUGUGUCUCCCUUCUCCCUUUUCAAAGAAUUCAAAAGGACACAGUCUGAGAAUUCUUUUGAUUCUUCCCUUUCCCUUAAACAAAAGACUUCAAAGGACUAACUGCCUGAGAUAUCUUUUGUUUCCCCUUUACAAAGAUUCAAAGGACUAACCGUCUGAGAACUUUAUCUUAACACAUUGGAGGAUACAUCCUUUGUGUUACAAGUAGAGGGUACAUCUACUUGGGUUGUUGUAACUGAGAACAAGAGAGGGUACAUCUCUUGUGGAUUAGUUCAAGUGGAGGGUACAUCCACUUUGUUGUUCAAAGAGAACAUGGGAGGGUACAUCCCUUGUGGAUCUUUGCUUGUAAAGGUUUUUACAAGGUUGAAAAUAAAUCUUAAGGACCGCAGGUUGCUUGAGGAUUGGAUGUAGGCACGGCUUGUUGCCAAACCAAUAUAAAUUUUUGUGUUUGUCUUCUUCUUCCCUACACUCUUUAAUUUCCGCUGUGCACUUUAAUUAUCGCUUUUACUUUUGGUUAAGUUUCUAUUUUUGUUCUUUACUUUCUUAACAUUAUAGUAAAAGCCUAAUUGAAUCUAGUAACAUUAAGAAGGAUAGAUUUUUAAUUAGUAAAGGUUCAUUAAUAAUUAAUUCAACCCCCCCUUCUAAAUUAUUCCGAGGCCACUUGAUCCAACAUAUGUUAUCUCUCAAUGGUUGGAUUCUUUACUCUGUUCUUCGUCUGAAGUCUUGCAUUAAAUGUACGUCCAUUCUUCUAGCAAAGUCCAUGCUUAUAGGAUAGUGCAACUUGUAUUUCAGUAGGAAAGUCACUUCUUUCAUCAUAGCAGGUCUGCAACAACAGAGUGCGCCUUUUGAUGAUGAUCAAUGUUUUCUAAACGAUGAACUUCAUUUAUUCUUCAUAAGACUUUGACAAGUUUUAGAAGAAUGUUUUUUUUGCAUCAAAGAAUCUUAGACAUAAAAUAUUAAAUGAAGGUCUUAAAUGCAUUACUUAAAUGCUAUAUCAGAUUGUCUUAUGAGUGCAUCGUCUGAAAACUUCAGAUGCACAAAGACAAAUCAUGAUUUGAUAACAUAUCAGAUACAAAUUUUAUUAUUUGUAUUUAUUUACAUCUAAUCAAAAUAAUUAUAAUUCUUUAUUCAUCUUUCAAACAUAAAUAUAUUUUGACUUAACAAACACCAAGACUCAUGCUCAAUUAAUCUAUCAAUUCGAGAUCAUUGUGUCGUUACUUCUUCCUAAGGUUUCCCUUAGUGGGAAACUUACCAAAAAAAACUUUAAAAAUUUCUAUUUAAUCCUAAAAACCUAAAAGGGGUCCAAUCCCAUUACAAUUAAAACACAAUAAUAAACAAAUGUUGUAGCAUGCAUCACUUGCACAACCAAAAUCUCAUUUAGAACGUAAGAUUCUCAACUUGGUGUAUUCACAAAAGUUAUGGAUAAUUUUGUCCUUGAAAUUUACACACUAGUAUCAUGUAAUUUUGAUGUCUAUAACUCAUUAUAUCCUCUAAACGCUACACAUACAUCAUGUUCUCUAGAUUAAAGUCACUCCAAACAUAGAACCUCAACUAUCCAUGACAAUCUCUUUAACUAAUCCACCUUUCUUAUCCAUGGCCUCCUAUGGUGGUGAGCUUCUUCUAGACUCAUCUUCUCCUUGAAGUGACAUCUCCUCUCUCUCUUCCUUCUCCAUUCUGCUGCCAUUCAUCUUCCAAGAAGAAAAGGAAUCGAUUGGUGAAGAAGAUCCUAGGCCUACAAGCUCCAAUGGAGCUUACAUCAUGUGGUAUCAUGAGCAUCUUCAUCUAGGUGAUGUUCUUUUGCUUCCUCUAUCUUUUUGUUCGGUGAAUUCUCUUUAAUUCCUUGUUCUUCAUCUUAUUCUCCAUGUAUAUCCUCCAUUUUCUUGUGGUUUGGUGCUGUUUAGAGUAGAUUCAAAAAAAUAAACCGAUUAAAUCCUAGAUCUACAAUUGUUCUUGCAUUUCUAUGGUUCAAAUUUUGUAGAUCUACUCUUGAAUCAUGUUUUUGUGUUGAUUUUAGGUUCUAUAAUUUUUCAUUCAUAAUAUUCUUGUGCUGAACCUUAGAUCUAAAUUUUCUUCCAAAAUAUUGAUUAGAAAAAAAACACAAAAAUCUAAGUGUAAAUCACUUAAUCCAUGUUGUCUUAGAGUCAUGUUUAGUCAUAGUAAUUGUCACAUUAUGCUAUAAGUUUGUGUUGAAUUUUUAUUUUGUUUAUUGAAUUCUAGAUACAUUUGUUCAUGUAUUCUUGUCAUUCUUAGCCUAUCUUUUGAAUUUUUAGUCUAAUUCAUGCAUGUUAUUUAGUUCAUAACAUGUUCUAAAUCAAUUCCUAGAAGUAGUCUUGUUGUUUAACUCUUUUUUUUUGUUUUCUAAGUUUCCUACAUGAUGCCUAUGAUGAAGUUGAGUUAUGGUGCUGAGUUGUGGCUGGAUUUGUGAAUCAAAAUAAGUCUUAAGCUCUCUUGAAUUGUUUUAUUCAAGAUAAUUGAUCAUAAGCAAACACAAAUUGUAACUAUCCAAGCCUUAAGCAACAUAAACACUACUCUUGAUUUCUAGGUUGAAAUCGUUGGUGCUGGCAACUUGAACAUACGAACUUGUAUAAAUUACUGGGAAUUGGUCACUACGUUUUUUGAGCUGAAAUUUUUCCUGAAUUUUCUAGACAUCUAGACAAAAAUUAUGAAAAAAGAACAAAGCGAUUUGGAAUAACAAAAAAAAAAAAGAAAAAUCACACAAGUUGGCUGAAAAAUCAGUGUCUAAGAAAAAAAAAGUGAAAGAGAAGUGUGCUUGUUGUUUUGGCUCAAAAUUUGUUCUAUAAUUGGUGCCUAUUUUAUACCAAUCCUAGUUUUGAAAUUGAAAUUUAAAUUUAUUGUGAAAACAAGUGCCAAAACUAGAGGUUUCUUGAGUCUUUUUUUUUAGUUUUUCUACUAUACUCUAGAGCCAUUCUAGGUUUCUCUUUGAGUCCUAGCUUGCUUUUUGUGCUUUUCAUUGCUUUAAUUGUUGAAUAAUCCUUGAAAAUUUGUCUUGUUAUAGAUUUCAUUUCAUUUUUUUUGGUAUUUGGUUAUUGCUUGUCUCUUUGUUUCCUUGCUUGUGAGUUGCCAUAUAGGGAAUUGGAAAAGAGGAUUGGUGCCAUACCUUGAAGAAUUUGAGUCAAGAAGCAAAGGGCCAACCACCUUAAGAGCUAUUGGACUAAGAAGAACGCCAAAUUGAGUGAAACACCAAAGAGAGAAUAGCCACCACAAUUGAAGACUUUUUUUUUGUAAUUUUGUAAUUGGCAAUUUGCUUUGCUUUCAAAUUUUGUAACAAAAAGGCCUUUCAUUGGAAGUAAGUUGGGAGCCUCCAAUAGGUCACCCUACUUCCAUUUAUGUGUAAUAAUUUUAGGCAAUUUUCCCUUAAGAUAGUGAGUGUUUUGUUGGGAACCUUAAAUGAGGUCAUCCAAACACUCUUAGGUUCCGCCUAGUUUGCAUUUCUUGCACUUUAAUUUUUUGCUUACUUUCAUAGCAUAUUUCCUUUACCCUCCAUUGUCAAACUGCCUAGAUAGCUUGCCUUUUACCAAUUAGUUUUUACCUUAUCUUUCACACCUCUUUUAGUGUUUAUUUUGGCUAAUUUCAACCAUAGUUUCUUUUACCUUUUGUUUUCAAACCCCCAACAAGAAAGAACCAUAACUUAGGAACCAACACGAGUCUUCAUUCUUCAUCUAGUGUUAAUGGUGAGGGUUCUACUCCUAAGGACCCCUUGUAUAAGAUAUUAGAUGAGUUGAGAUCCCUUAAGUUGUGGAAAGAAAAACAAGAGAGAAAAGAAAAAGGAAAAAAAAAGAGUGGAAGAAAUAAGUCAAGAUAAAAGAGAGAAAGUAAGAGAGGAAGAAAGAAGAAAAAUAAUGAAAGAAAUGAAAAGAGAAAAACAUGUCUCCUAUAGUAGUCAUAACUCUUGCAAGAGUUUAAGUGAAGAACUUAGCGACUAUUAUAAAGGGCGCAAUAUUUCACAUACUAAACAUCAUUCCCAAAGAAGAGAAAAGGAUAGAAGGCUUCAAGAGGUUAACAUUAGCCUCCCAUAUUUCCAUGGAAAAGAUAAUGUUGAGGCCUACUUAGAUUGGGAAAUGAAGGUUGAACAACUCUUUACUUGCCAUCAUAUUAGCAAAGGGAGAAAAGUUCCAUUGGCUACCCUUAGCUUUCAAGGGUGCGCCCUCUAUUGCCGGACUUCCCUUGUUAGGGAACAAAGGAUUCAUGGGGAUCCUCUAGUAGAGUAUUAGAAUGAUCUUAAGAGUGCCCUUAGGAAGAGGCACAUUCCCUCCUACUAUGAAAGGGAGCUUAUAGACAAGCUCCAAAGACUUAGACAAGGGAGUAUGAGUGUUGAAGAAUAUAGACAACAAAUGGAACUACUCCUUUUAAGAGCUGGACUUAGGGAGGAGGAAAGAACAAGCAUAGCUAGGUUCCUUAGUGGGCUUAAUAUGAAAGUGAGGGACAAACUCCUUCCAUAUAGGGACCUAGAUGAGCUAGUCCAACUUUGUAUAAGAGUGGAGCAGCAACAUAAAAGAAAGCUUUGUUCAAAAUCUUAUGGCUCUCAUCCUUAUCCAAGGAAGGACCAAGCCCAUGGAAUUUUGGGGGCUGCACCUUCAAAACCCAAGGAAGAUAAGGGUAAGACCAUAGAGAAAUACACCCCUAAGACUAGUUCCCAAGAAAGGACUAGCAACAUUAAAUUUUUCAAAUGUCUUGGGAGAGGUCGCAUUGCAUCUCAAUGCCCCACAAAGAAAUCCAUGAUCAUGAGGGGUCAAGACAUUUAUAGUAGUCAAGAGGAGACUACUUCUUGCCCUUCCUGUAGUGGAAGUGAAGAUGAAUUAAGGGGUGAAAAGUCUAGCGAGGAAGUCUACCCCCAUGAAGAAGGUGAACUCCUAAUGGUUAAAAGGCUCCUUGGAGGCCAACCUUGUGAUCUAUCCCAAUACCAAAGAGAGAAAAUCUUUCAUACAAGAUGCAAAAUUUUAGAUAAAACUUGUUCUCUCAUUGUGGAUAGUGGAUCUUGUUGCAAAUGUUGUAGCACAAGAUUAGUUUCCAAGUUGAACCUCACUAUCAUUCCCCACCGAAAAUCUUAUAAACUUCAAUGGCUCAAUGAGCAAGGGGAAAUGAUAGUUAACCAACAAGUGAAGGUACCUUUCUCCAUUGGGACAUAUAAGGAUGAAGUUAAUUGUGAUAUAGUUCCCAUGGAGGCAGGACAUAUUCUUUUAGGAAGGCCAUGACAAUUUGAUAGGAAGAUCAUUUACAAUGGCCUAACUAAUGAAAUUACCCUCACCCAUAUUGGCACUAAAUUUGUGUUGCAUCCUCAAACACCUUCACAGGUGGCCAAAGAUCAACUAACUAUGAAAGAUAAGAGGACUGAGGAAGAAAAACUAGAAAAACAAAAGAAAAAGAAGGAUAGUAAGGCCUUGUCUUCAAAGGCAAAGGGGAAGGAAAAGGAGGAAAAGGAUUCCUCCAAGAAGAUUGUUAAGAAGGAAGAUCACUUUGCAACAAAAGGUGAUAUUAAAAGGGCACUCCUUCUUAAACAAUCUUUCUACCUUCUCCUAUCAAGGGAAACAUCCCUUAGCACCGAUAUACCUCUUGAGCUUGAGGUUAUUCCUCAAGUAAAAGAGUUGUUGGAUGAGGGUUUGGUUCGCAAGAGCUUAAAUCCUUGUGCUUUGUUGGUGCCAAAAAUAGGUAUUAUUAGGCACCAAAUCCCUAUGAUAGUUGGUAUGAUGAAUGUGUUGAGUGGUGCAACACUCUUUUGUAAAAUCACUCAUGCACCCAACAUCUUCAUGAUUUGUGUACAUAGGGACUCAUUAGGUAGGUUUGUUCUUAUUUUUUGUUUCAAUGCAAACCUAGGUGCUUAUGUGGGACACCUUAGGUUUGUCGUAAUAUUUUGUAGGAAUAAUCAACAUGAAAAUAAAGAAAAAGGUAUGUUUUAUUCCAUUACUUUCCUUAACUUUUUAAAUAGUGAUCAAGGGCUUCCCAUGGACCCUAAGAGAAUAAAGGUAAUUCCUGAGUGGCCUACUCCACCAAGUAUAAGGGAAAUUUGGGGCUUCAAUAUCUUAACAAACUUUUACAAAAAGUUUGUCCCAUAUUUUUCUAUACUUGUAGCACCACUCAUUGAGUUGGUGAAGAACUAUAUUCUCUCAUGGGAAGAUGACCAGGAAAGGGGUUUUCAAUCCUUACCGUACUUUAACAUACCCAACAUCACUAAUACAUAUGUUUUUAUUCUUUUUACAGGUGUUGAGGAAAGAAUCCAUGAGUUUCAAGAACCUUUGGAUUUGAGGUCAAAUCCUUUUCAAGGGGGAGGGAAUGAUGCAAUCCUACCUGAUCGAGGUCGUACCCGAAUCAAAUAAACAUUAAAAAUGCAAUAUCUAGGAAGUGAUCCUAGGUCGUCUCCCAACGAGCAAUGGUCAACCAAACAUUCAUAAUAGAUAGUAGGAAAAUAGUAACGAAUUGGGGGGGGGGGUUGUUUGUUUUUGUAAAUUAAACAGCGAGUAAAAUUGAAUUAGAAAAUAUCAGAAUUAAAUUAAAUUACUAAGCAAAAUUUAACAUAAGGCAUUCAUUAUGUGAUUAAGCAACACAUACACCAAAUAAUAAUGAGCAAUCAUUAAGCAUAAAGGUAAAUUAAGCGCAGAGACAAUUAAUCAAACACUAAGCAUGCAUGAAUUAAUAGCAACAAAUACAUAGUAAUUGGUGAAGAGGAAAAACUGAUCAGAAUUUAAUAGUAAUAAUAGAACCUCAAAGAGAAUUGUGUUUGAUCCUCAAGAGAAAACAACGCUGGAGACUUAGCCUUCCAUUAAUCAAUAGAGAACGAAAUUUUAUUGCUAAAACGAAAAGUAAAAACUGGAAUUGCAAAACAAAAAAGUGUCUAAAAGAAGAAGAGAAGCCUAAAACUAAAAACGAAAGAGGAGAGCUCAAACUAGAGCCUUGGUGCUGUUAUAUAUUUUCAGCCCUAAAGCUUACAAAUCUGUUUUAAGUCCAAGCCCAUAAAUAAAAUAAAAUCUAGACAAGAUAAGAUAAGAUUUGAUAAAAUAAAAUCUAAAUAAGAUAAGAUAAGAUCUAGAUGAAAUAAUGUCUAUAUAAGAUAAGAUUUGAUCUAGAUAAGAUAAGAUUUGAUAAAAUUGUCUGCUCUCUUCAAGUCCAAGCCCAAUUUUGGAUUCAAGCCCAAUUGCUUAUAAUUCUCCUGAAAUUAAAUUAAAAACACAAAAUUAGUCCAAUAGGCCCAAAUGAUAAAACUGCAUAAUUAAUUUGACAAUUAAGACUAAUCAAUAAUUAAAAUGGUGCAAAAAGGGUUCGUGAGGAAUGGCUUAAGUCGAUGUCCGUUGACCUUGAAGCUCUUGUUUGUGGAGUCGCUUUUGAUCUCAACUGUACCAUAAGGAAAAACAUUAGUAACAACAAAAGGACCAAUCCACUUAGACCUCAACUUACCACUCAUGAGUCCAAGCCUAGAAUUAUACAAUAACACUUUUUGCCCAACCCUGAAGUCCUUCUUAAUUAUCAUGCUAUCAUGGAACUUCUUGGUCUUUUCUUUGUAGAACUUGGCAUUCUCGUAGGCUUCUAGGAGGAUCUCAUCUAACUCACUCAGUUGCAACUUUCUUUCCUCACCAGCUUCAUCCAUAGAGAAGUUGCAGGUCUUCAUUGCCCAGUAUGCUUUGUGCUCAAUCUCCACUGGAAGAUGACAUGCCUUUCCAAAGACAACCCGAUAAGGAGACAUUCCUAUGGUUGCUUUGUAGGCAAUUCUAUGUUCCCAAAGAGCAUCAUCAAGCCUGGUACUCCAAUCUUUCCUGCUUGGCUGCAUAAUCUUCUCUAAAAUUCUCUUGAUCUCCCUAUUAGAAAUUUCUGCCUGUCCAUUGGUUUGGGGGUGGUAUGGUGUGGAUACCCUGUGUACAACCCCGUACUUUUUAAGCAAGGCAUGCAUUGAUUUGUUGCAAAAAUGGGUUCCUUGAUCACUAACGAUUGUUUUAGGUACUCCAAACCUGCAAAACAGAUUAGAUUUGACAAAAUCUGCUAUAACCUUAGCAUCAUUAGUUCUAGUGGGCUUGGCUUCCACCAAUUUUGAAACAUAAUCAACUGCAAGGAGAAUGUAAACAAAACCAAAAGAGACAGGAAAAAGGCCCAUGAAAUCUAUACCCCAGACAUCAAACACCUCACAAAAUAGCAUAGGUUGCUGAGGCAUUUGUUGUCACCAUGCAAGUGCACUUCCUGCUCUCUGACACAGCUCACAAGUGCUACAAAUCUUCCAUGCAUCUUUAGAGAUGGUGGGCCAAUAAAAGCCACAGUCAAGCACUUUGCGAGCUGUCCUUUGAACACCCAGAUGACCUCCUGAUGCGGAAUAAUGACAGAACUGCAGGACUGAGUCAGUCUCAUGAUCUGGAAUGCAUCAUCUAAUGACCUGAUCACUGCAUAAUUUUCACAAGUAGGGGUCAUCCCAAAUAAAAUGCUUAGCAUCACUUUUAAUUUUAUCUUUUUGAGCCUUAGAUGCUAAGGGAGGAAAAAUAGAAGCAACUAAAUAAUUUACAAUGUUAGCAAACCAGGGAGUAGAAAUAGAAUUAGAAAUACUAUACAAUAUAUAUAAAUGAUCAUCCGGGAAAUCAUCCUGAAUGGGUGAGUCCUCAUCAGACAUAUGUUCGAUCCGACUCAAAUGAUCAGCAACUAAAUUUUGUGCUCCGCUCCUAUCACGGAUCUCCAAGUCAAACUCUUGGAGCCAGAGCAUCCAUCGGAUCAACCUAGGCUUUGAAUCGGCCUUCUUCAACAAGUACUUUAAAGCUGCAUGGUCAGUAUAAACAAUAAUGCGAGUACCAGGCAAAUAAGAACGAAAUUUUUCAAGAGCAAAAACUAUGGCUAGUAGCUCUUUCUCAGUAGUAGUAUAAUUCGCUUGGGCAGCAUCUAAAGUCCUUGAAGCAUAAUAUAUCACCCUAGGCAAUUUAUCAAUUUUCUGAGCAAGGACAACCCCCAAUGCAUAAUUUGAUGCAUCACACAUAAGCUCAAAAGGGGUUGUCCAGUCGGGUGCCUGGAUGAUGGGGGUGGUAGUCAGUGCUCUUUUGAGGCAAUCAAAAGCCUCUUUGCAUUUAUCAUUAAAGUCACACUCCACCUCCUUUUGCAACAAGUUGGAUAGUGGAAGGGCCACUUUGCUAAAAUCUCUUAUAAAGCGCCUGUAGAAUCCUGCAUGACUAAGAAUAUCAGGAGUAUUAUCAAACCAAUCACACUUGAAUAGAACUAACUUCAUCAAUGGGAUGCCAAUAUACUCCAAUUGAAUAAUAUCAGAUAACAUUCCAUAAAAAUCAUAUUCUUGUUGGCCAUCAGUUCCCCGUACGUGAACGCCAUAAUUAGAAGAAUUCAUGCCUUCAUUCUAGCUAACUAUUUGUAAUUUGUAUCCAUUUAUAAUGUAGAUAGGCAAUGAUUCAACUUUUCUCUUAGGUCGCCAUGCCAAAUUAACCAAUAUUGAAUCUUGAAUAUUAUUUUCUGGAUUUAGAACCUAAAAAAUUUAAUAAUUAACACCAUAUAUAACACUGUGUCAUUAUGGAAGAAAUAUUAUUUCAAUAAUAUAUAAGGUGUUAACCUACAUAUUGCUUGAACCAUGUAGGAAAGUUGGAUGAAAUGUCUUGGUUAAGUUGAGCAUACGAAGUAGUGGGAUUCAAAUCCCUUAAAAAAUUCUCAUAAAUACUGGAAAUGAGAAAACAAAUUACUCAACGUAAAAAACAUAACAUCAUUAAAAUAUUAAUUAGAGCUAUAAAAGUAUUAAAAUCAUCUUACUUUAAAUAUGGCUCAACCUCUGGACAAUUUUGAAGAACAUACAAGUGAGCAACAUGAAGAUCAACUUGGUCCAAAAAAUAUGUUUUGGAUUUACCACUCGCUCUUCCUGUGUAAUUGAAAACUGAUAUAGGAGGAGAAGAUGAAGAACCUUCAUCCGCAUCAACAUUUCGAGGCAUCCUAGUCCUUCUUGUUGCAAUUUGAUCAGGAUAGUAAAAUGAGGCAAAGGUAGAUGUCUCCUCCACUAAGUACGCUUCACAAAUCGAUCCCUCAACUCUAGCUUUAUUCUUGACUUUAUUUUUGAGGGAGUGUAAAAACCUAAAAUUAAUAUGAAUAAGUAUUUUUUAAAAAUGACUAUAUGUAUAUAAUACAAUGGUGUAUAAAUGAUUACUCAUUUUAUACCUCUCGAAAGGAUACAUCCAACGAUAUUGAACUGGACCACCAAGUCUUGCCUCAUAAGGUAAAUGAACUGGAAAAUGCUCCAUUGAAUCAAAGAAGCUUGGUGGGAAUAUUUGUUCUAACUUACACAACAACACGGGUAUGUUAUUUUCCAUAAUUCAUAGUUGUUCAACAUUUAAAGUUGUCGAAGUUAGUUAUCUGAAAAAUUGGCUAAGUUCAACAAGUGGCUUCCAAAUAGGUUUUGGUAAUGAGUCAAAUGCAAUUGGAAGCAAUCGUUGCAUGAAAACAUGACAAUCAUGACUUUUCAUUCCAUGAAUUUUUCCCUUGUUAAGAUCCACACACUGACCUAAAUUGGAGGCAUAGUCAUCAAGUAACUUUAGUUCUUUGACUCAUUUAAGAACAGUGAGUCUCUUGGAUUUGGUCAUUGCAUAAGCUGCCUUUGGUUUAAAGAACUUGCCACGACCAACAUCUACUAGCUCAAGCUCCUUCCGAUUACAUAUUUAUGCUAAAUCUAUUCGAGCAUUGUGUGUAUCCUUACUUUUGCCAUUGAUGUCCAUCACAAUGUUAAAGGCAUUCAUAAACACAUUUCUCUUUGUGUGCAUGACAUCAAUGUUAUGACGCAAAAGCUGGGUUUUCCAAUAUGGUAACAACCAAAAUAUACUUUGUUUCUUCCAAUUAUGUUCAACACCAUAACUAGGAAAAUCUUUUUCUUCUUGCGACUCAAGGCAGAGUAGUAAAUGUGCAACUUUAUUCCAAACGUCAAGACUAGACAAACGUGGAGGAGGGGGUGACGUCUCAACGCGACCCUUCUUGAAUGACUUUUUAUUCCUCCUAUAUGCAUGAUUAAGCGAAAGAAAUUGGCGAUGACAAUCAAAAUAACAGACCUUGUGAAAAUUUAAAGUUGUGAAUGCCUUUGAUCUUUCCAUACAUAUGGGACAACCAAGUCUGCCAGCAGUUGUCAACCCUUACAACAUCCCAUAAGCCGGAAAGUCAUUGAUUGUCCAUAUCAAAGCAGCCUUCAUAAAAAAAAUUCUGCUUGAAUGACACAUCAAAAGUUGGUAUGCCAUCAUUCCAUAAGGUGCAUAAGUCAUCUAUGAGUGGUUGCAAGUACACAUCAAUCUUGUGCCUUGGAUCUGAUGGACUUGGAAUUAAGACAGUUAAAAACAUAAAUUCUCUCUUCAUGCACAUGCCAGGAGGAAGAUUAUAUGGAGUUAAGAUAAUCGGCCAACAAGAGUAAGUUUUCCGAAAAUGACCAAAAGGACUAAAUCCAUCUUAACAUAAUCCUAAUCUGACAUUCCUAGGGUCUUGACUAAAUUCUGAAUGCAUUCUAUCAAAAUGCUUCCACGCUUCAUCAUCAGAUGGAUGACACAUGACAUUCGGGUCACUCUGAUUUUCACUAUGCCAUUUCAUGUGAGAUGCAGUGGUCAUUGAAGAGUACAAUCUUUUUAGUCUUGAAAUGAGUGGAAAGUACCACAUUUUUUUAACAGGAAACUUCUUUUCAAUCCCUCUCCUAUUAACUGUCAAGUACCGAUCACUUUUACAAAAAAAGCAAUUAGUUAUACUCUUAUCUGAAUUUUCUUUGUAAUACAACAUGCAUCCGUUCGGGCAACAAUCAAUUUUCAAACAACCGAGACUCAAUUUCUGCACUGCCAUCUUAGCUUGAUAAAAAUUACUAACCAUAGUAUUGUUUUUUGGCAUGGUGUCGCCCAUAAGUUGAACCAUAUGAUUAAAACACCCUUCUGACAUAUUAUAAUCAGAUUUCAAGCUAAGACAGGCCAAAGAAGCUGACAUUUUUAAAUGAUGCUCGCAUCCUUCCUACAAUGGUGCUUGAGCAGUUGCAAGCGUAUCAAAGAACUUUUGAGCUUCAGGAUUAGGAUUUUCCUUUAUGCAUUCUGUCUCAAUUACACCCUGUUGUUCUAUGUAUUGGCCAAUUGAUGGUCCAACAUGAUCCAUGAUCAUUUGCUCGUAAGGAUUCAAUUCUUUCCUUUGCCUACCACUUUUGUAGUAUGAACCUUGUAACACUAUUGGAGGAAAUUGUGGUAACUCUUCACCGUGGUUUGCCCACCAAUAAUAAUUUGGCAUGAACCCUUCCUCAUAAAGAUCCCUCAUCACAUCAUCCAAAAACUUGAAAACUUUACAUUUGCAUUUCUUGCAGGGACACCUUGUUUGUUCUCCUUGCAUUUGAAACAUGUCCUGACUAGUAACAAACUGUACAAAUUCAAACACUCCUUCUCUAAACUGAUUUGUCCAAUGUUUAUUACCAUCCAACCUUUGAUACAUCCACCUUCGAUUCUCAUGAAUCUCCAUUGAUACAAACUACCAAUAACAAAUAUCCAUUAAGAAAUGUCAAGAAGUAAGAAAAUAUAAUCAUGAAAUGAAAUGAUUUGGUAGUAUUCAAUGGAGUGUGUUCAUGCAAACACACAAGAGACAUUUAUUGAAAACAAAAACCAAUACUUAUAGUGUAUCUGAACAAAAAGUUAAAAAUAGACAUAGGCCUUCUAAACAGUUUGGGCCAAAAUUACAAUAAAUAAAAAUUAUUAAUAAAAAUAGAACAUAUUUAUUAUGGGCCUUCAAAUUAAUCUGGGCCUUCAGCAACAAUUAAUAGUCUUGAUAAUGUCUCUGCCUCUGGGCCUUCAUCCUUCUCCACUUGGGCCUUCAUCCUUCUCCGCUCGGGGGCUUUGUCCUUCUCCACUUGGGCCUUUAGCCUGUAUUUGGCCAGUUUCAGGAUUCUCAUCAUUCCUUCCUUCUUGGAAAACAUUUUCCCUCAAAUGUCCAGGAUCAUCACCGGGUUCAAGUACCACUUCCUUCCUUUUCUUGUUGGCUUGCUUGGUAUAACUUUCAUUCUUCUUUGCAAUUUGCACCUUCACUUGGUCAUACAAUCUUUUCACAUACUCAACUUUGGCCUGUGCAUCCUUAUGCUGAGUCUCUUGGGGCUUUCUGUUGUAAGUUGGCCUGUUAGGCAAUGAAGCUUCUGGAAGGAGAUCAACUUGAUGCUCUAUCAGAAAUAGAAAUAGUAAACUCAUUUGAAUUAUCAGUAGAAAUUUUAUUGUCUUUACAAUACUGUAGAUAGAGUGGUUCAUGAGCAGGUAACACUUUCCUCACUUCACUCGCCUCUUCAAAAUAAUUAAAUUUUCUCUCAUGUGUAUCACUCUCUCUCUUAUGUGUAUCACUCUUUCCCUCGGGUGUAUCACUCUUCCUUUUCCUAUUCCUAUGUGGUGCCUCACUAUUUUCUUUCUCUUGUUCUCUCUUUUCUCUCAUUCUGAUUUGGUCAUCACACACUUCUCUAGGGGAUAAAGGUUUAAGAAUAAACAAGGAAGAUUUGGCUAUUCUCCUGUAGAGCUCUUCAUUGUUACGAUUCAGCAAAUGUUGCAUUUGUGUAGUCAUCGCGUCUAGUAAUAAGCAUUGAGAUCCAUCCAGUUGAUGAUAUACACCACCAUUGUCACCAACUCUUGCCAUGAUUAAGGAAUAAAGAAUUUUGCAGUAAUUUUAAAAAAGAUUCAGGACCUCACCACACUCUAUUCACGUGUUUCUCUCUUUGAUGGUAGUUCACUCGUAUUUGAUGCUCUCAAUAUAGGCUUUUGUGUGAUGUUUUCACUCUUGCCUUUUACGACUCACUUCCUCUUAAGUUCCUGGAUGAAUCAAAUUAGACACACAAGGUAUAUAACAGGAAAGACAGUUUAAUUAUCAUAGACUAUGUAGCAUAUUUAAUUUGGAUAACAAAUCAGAUUUGAUUUUGGUUAACAUAUUAGACUUGAUUUGGAUUUAGAUUUGAUUUGGAUAACAUAUUAGACUUGAUUUGGAUAGCAGAUUGGAUUUGAUUUGAAAAACAUAUUAGACUUGAUUUGGAUAGCAGAUUGGAUUUGAUUUGGAUAACAGAUUAGAUUUGAUUUGAUUUGGAUAACAAAUCUGAUUUGGACAACAAAUUUUGAUUUGAUUUGAUUUGGAUAACAAAUCAGAUUUGGAUAAUAAAUUAAAUUUAAUUUGGAUAACAAAUAUGAUAACAAAUAAGAUAACAGAUAGGAUAACAUAUAAGAUAACAUAUAUGACAAGUAAACUUCAAAUGCUCAUAACUUUUGCUACGGUUGUUCGUUUGAGGCCCACUAUAUAUCAAAACGAUCAUAAUUCAGAGGAGAAUCUAGAUAAGGGGAUUUGAUCCACGAUUUUCUUUCCAAAAAAAAAACCUCUAAAUGCCUCAAUUUCGUGUUCAAAGAUCAAACACCCACUUUUUUUUUUCAAAAUUUCUGAAACUUUUUUUUGGACACAAAGUGUGAAAGACAUGAGAAACAAGAACAAGAACGUGACAAGAACAAGAACAAGAAUGCAAAUAACAGAACACAAGACGCAAACAAGAACGAAACAAGAUGUAAACAAGAAUGCAAAUAACAGAACACGGACAAAAACACGAACCUAGACAAAUUACAAAGAAAAAAAAUAGGAUAGGAUAGGAUAGAACCUGUAUCAAGAGCCGAAGCUCUGAUACCAGAUGAUGUGAACCUUACGGGGCAGAACGUUUGAUACAGGCUACGAAGAUUUGGAUGACGCCACUUCCAGUGAAGGAAGAAAAGUCAGGGUAGACGCCACAAGGAUUACCUUGAUAAGUCUGAGAUUGGUUCAACAAGGAACCCAGAGAGAAGCUCUCACCAAAUUUUAUGAAAAUGCCAAAAGUUUUUUUAUUGAAAACAAAAACCAAUACUUAUAGUGUAUCUGAACAAAAAGAUAAAAAUAGACAUGGGCCUUCUAAAUAGUUUGGACCAAAAUUACAAUAAAUAAAAUUUAUUAAUAAAAAUAGAACAUAUUUAUUAUGGGCCUUCAAAUUAAUCUGGGCCUUCAGCAACAAUUAAUAGUCUUGAUAAUGUCUUUGCCUCUGAGCCUUCAUCCUUCUCCACUCGGGGGCUUUGUCCUUUUCCACUUGGGCCUUCGUCCUUCUCCACUUGGGCCUUUAGCUUGUAUUUGACCAAUUUCAGGAUUCUCAUCACAUGCUAUUAUAGUGUUUGCAUGUAAGUUGAAAUAGUCAAGUUAAUGUUUAUUUACUAUGAUUGAUUUUAAACUUUAGAUAAAGUAAGAUUGAUGAUGGAACAUGGAUAUUAAGUAUUACAAGUACCUCAAUGUAGGUAUAAUUAGACUUACAUGGACCACUAAAGGUAGUAGGCUUCAACAAGAAUGUUUGUUUUAUAGGUAUGAUGAGGAGAAAUAUGUGAGUUGCUCUGGCAUGUGGGUUUGCAAGCCUUUAGAAAGGCCUGUUGAAUGUACAUUUACAAAAGUUUAAGAUUGUGUGUAAGGCAUAAUUGUGGCAUGGAACUGAGCAAAUGGAAAAAAUUAUUCAAAUUAAUGUUAUCAUUUCUAUGAAACACUAAUUAACACAAUGAAGAAAAACUCCUGCAUGAAAUUAAUAAAAUACAUCAUAUUAAAUCUUAAUUAAUUAAUAGGGAAAAAUAGUGCAAACUUACACAUGCAAUGCUAUUUUCUAAUAUCAUUCAUGUUCCUUAAUCAAUAUGUGUACUGUGAUCUAAGGGCUAGCUUGGAUAAGUCUUUUUUAUUUUAAAAAAAUAAAAUCGUGUCUAUUCUGUGGAAUUAAUGAAUUAUAGUAGUACUUUACUAAUGGAGAAAAAUAAAAUAAUAGUCUUCCUUUUGAAUAAAUGAUAAUCAGGGAGUUUCUUUUUUCUUCUUCCUCCCACUUUUUUAUGUUGACGUAUUUUCUGUAUAGGGGGCUUUUAAAGAGUUCAAAUUAUCUAAUAGGCCGUCCUACUUGCACGUGACUGUGGAGGUUGGGGAUGUGAAUAUUCAAUGAACUUUUGUGUAAAAAGAUAAAAAGAAGUCAACAUGUAAAAUGAAAUAUGUUGUUACAAAAAUAAUUAAAUGAAAUAUAUAAUUACUGAAUUAUAUAUAUAAUUUCAUGUUACAAUUGUGUAUAAAUAAUUAAAAAGAAGUAUAAAUAUCUUCAUAGACCAGACGCUUUUUAAGAAAAUGUUGAUAAACUUUCUAGCAUUUUAAAAUUCUUAAUUUCACAAAUUUUGAUUAUGGCAUAUUUUCACAAUAUAAAUGGUAUAUUAUUUAUUAUAAUUUUUAAAUAAUUUUAUAAAAUAAAAAAUUAUUUUGUAUGAAAAACAAAUAAAAAUACUAAUCAUAACCAUGAUUUAUUUAUCUUAAUCAAAUAAUGUAAAUAUUAUUAUUUUAAUUUUAUUAUAAAUCAUCAAAAUAUAAUUAAAAAUAAUAUAUAAUUAUUAUGAUUUACAAAAUAAUUAAAAUAUUGAUUUGUUAAUUUAAAAAUAUUACUAAUAUAUUAAUUUCAACAAUUUUCAAGUAUUUAAGUAUAUUGCAUAUUUAUUAUGAUUUAUAAUAAUUUAAAAUUUUAACUUCUUAAUUUUUCUAGAAAAAUAAAUAAACUCGGUUGCAAAUUCGGUCGCUAGCCUCAAAAUAAUUUUAUAUAAUAGCGACUGACGAAUACUCGGUCGCUAUCGACAUGACAUAGUGACCGAAACAAAUUCGGUGGCUAACGGCAAGUCCAUGUCGGUCGCUAAUUCCGUCGCUAAAGCGCUUUUGAAUUUAUGUCUGUAUCGCGACCGAAGUAUUCAGUGACGUUUCCCUUCGGUCACAAAUACGAUCGUUGGGCAACUUAGCUACUAAAUAUAAUAUCGGCCGCAAAUGUUGUCACAAUUUGUGACCAAUUACUGUUGGUCGCUAUUUCGGUCACUGACAGUGACCGUAUAUUUUUUGUCGUUAAUUUCUGUCGCUAAACUGUAUUUUUCUAGUAGUGUUGUUAAAAUUAAAGAAAAUAAAUACAUAAUUAGUCCUAAUUAACACAAAAUGAAGGCAAACAUAUAUGAAUUAAUAUGCAAAAUAUGGAAUAAAAUGCCAUGUAUCAUUAUUAUUAAUUAGAUCACGUAGAAAAUCUUUUAACUUAAUUAUUAUUGGAUUGAUAAAUUCCAAAUCCAUCUAAUGUGACCUAAACUCUUGCUUUUCUUAUUUUUUAAUUUUCAUUUUAAACCAUAUAUAUAUAUAUAUAUAUAUAUAUAUAUAUAUAUAUAUAUAUAUAUAUAUAUAUAUAAACCAAGCCUGUAUAUAUAUAAUAGGGUCAGAUUCUUUGGAUUGAGAGCUAAAAGUCGAUGAAAAUCAACAUGAUCUAAUCCCAAUAUUUGUCCUGUUUGAAUCAUUUUCUCUAUGUCUAACUUGUGUCAAUUCCUAACCAAAUUAAAACCCUCGCAAAUUAGUAAGCAUCUUCAUUAAUUUCACGUGUUGGAACAUGCAAUCAACCUUAUAAAAAAGGACUAGAGGGAUAAACUUUAUUUAAUUCAAAACCUCGUAGCCCUUUCUUCUCAACGGGAGUGUCGUAGGCCUUGAAUUCCUCCUCGUGCAUGUCGCUUCAUGUCGGUAAUAUAUUCUUCAGACUUGCAGAAAAUCCUUAUAAUAACAACUUAGAUGUUACAUCAUGCAAGACAUAAAAUAUCACAACUAUGAAUUUCGAAGAGGAAUUGCUAUGCCUUAGUCUUAUUCUUUUUAAGAGGAAAAGUCACGAAUUGUUUUGCAAAAUAUGGCACAGGCUUAGAACUAAUGCAUAAAACUAGAUAUGAUAUUCAAUUAUAACUCAUUUUAUUCUGAAAAGGUAUAGUUAUCUUAUGAUCAUGUACGUUCUAGAUCAUUAAAAUUCAAGUUAUAUACUUCCUGCGAAUCUAUUUUUGAAACUAGCAUACUUUGUCUAAGACUUUCUUUUUCCACCGAAGAUACGUAGGAUUUGUGAUUUGACGGUCAAAUUAUUAUUAACUUUCAAAUAUGGUAUAAAAUGUAUAUUUAUAGAACACUGUUUCUUAAUCUUAAACAUUCAUGUUAUUUUUAUGUCAAUUUAACUGUUUGGUUAGGAACUCGAAGGAAGCUCCAACAGUAUCGGAAUAUUACCACACAGUACCAACAUUGAAGACACACCAAUCACCAUUAGCUACCACAAAAUAAUUAAAUUAAAUCAAGAACAAAAAAAUAAAUUCACAUGUUAAAGGGAAUUUGCAUCGACCUUACCUAUUUAAUUUGUCAACCAAAACAUCACUAUCUCAUGUUGAAAUUUAAGUUGCCUUAACAUGAAUUCAUGGUAGGAUCACAAUUAUUUUUAAGUUAUUACGGUAGUGGAGGCAUGUUUUAAAGCCCACUUUGGGAUUAUGAAAGAGAUAUAUAUCUCUUGUCCUUAUAUCCUGUCUCUCUUGCAACCAGGGGCGGUGAAGAAGAUAUCAUUGGUCGGAAACAUGUUGCACGCACCUAAUUUUAUUUUCCUUCAUUUGAUUUGAAAAUUUCUGUCUAACUAUAUUAUUUUAAAUUUAAAUAUGUUUACUCAACGCUCUAACUCAAUUGAUUAAGCAUGAUACAUGAUUUAUAAACCCCAAUAUUUAUCUUUAAAUUUUACGGACCAAAAGAAAAAUUAAAUAUGUUUUUAGUGUGUAGUACAUUUUUAACUUGUAUUACAUUACGAAAGAGAUAUUAUAUUUUACUGAUGUAUUCAUUCUAAGUGCACAGGAUAAAAAAUGAAAAUACAUACUAAUUAAUGUAUUUACGUUAAGUGAACGAGAAAAAUUGUGUAAUUAAUACUAAAAAUUGGUUCAACAAUACAUAUUUUCUUUUUAGGCUAUGUUUGGUAAAACUAACGAAAAACUCAAAAGUUAAUUGGUAGUUGAAAAUUAAAAAAAUAGUUUAUUAAAUUAAAAGUGUUUGGUAAAAUUAAUUGUCAAAAUAAUUCAAAAGUGAAAAAAUGACAAAAAUAGACAUAUCUAUAUUCUACUAUUUUAUGUUACAUUUUUUGUGUUAAGUAUUCUACUACUAAUCUUAUACUAUUUCUUAAAAUAUUUUUAAUCAAGUUUAAAAUAAUGUAAGAAAAUAAACUUAAGUAGACAUUAUACUUUUAUUAUGUUAAUUAGUGUAAUAGUUAAAAUAAAUCAUUUAAUAUAAAAUAAUUCAAAAAAUAAUAGACAAAAUAUAGUAUUUAAAUAAUAAAUUAAAUAUUAUAAGUGGUAUGACACGACACCUUUGACUUGAUAGAUCACCAAGUUUAAUCUUAUACAGAUUUCCUUGUCUCUUAACAGAGAAGAGAAUAUAGCAGUCUUAGUUUUGGAUGAUACACAUAUCCUUGUUCAAGUUGACAUUGUAUUCACUAUCACAUGAUUGACUUAUGCUCAGCAGAUUAUGCUGCAACCAUUUAACAAGCAAAAAAACUAUCUAUAAGGGGUAGGGAGGAAUACAAACUUUACCUACACCAGUUAUCAAACCUUUUUGAUUCAAUUCGAAAUUGACCACCCCACCAGACAUAGGGCUUAAGGAUAGAAACAUAGACAUUUUGCAUGUCAUGUGUCGUGAGCAGCCACUGUCCACAUAUCAUGACCAGUGUUUCUUUCAUGCUAUCAAGGGGUCUGCAAUAGGAACAAAUUUUCUCUUAGGUACCCAAAUCUUUUUGGGUCCUUUUACCUUGUUAGCAUGUGGGUGUUGGUAAGCGCUAGAUGGACCCCUUGAGGGGUUUCCCUUUCCAAGGAGGUCCUUGCACUUUUGAGUUUCAUGACCCACUUUUCCACAAAAAUAACAAACGGUGUCUUCUUCGCCAUGUACAAUCUUUUUGCCUUUGAAACCAUGGCCAAAUUUGUCUUUGGGGUUUCUUUGCACUUUAAUAAUUUUGGUAAGGGUUUCAUGACUACCAAUAAAUUGCCUAGAUUAUCUCUCAAGUUUUCUAUCUUGUCAUAGAGUUUUACAAUCCCAGGAGGUAGUUCCUUUAAGACCUCACAUCCCUUAAGCUUAUAGCUCAAAUCAAAAGACAUCUUUUUGUAAUGUUGACAUUCCGUUCAGAGAUCUGAGUCCUUCUUUUUCAGUUUAUGAAGUUCAUCAUUAGCAAGGAUGCAUUCUUUUUUAAGUAAGAGUUUUUGUUUAAACAUUUCCUUGGGUCCUUCUUCUGAAUCUUCAAGAGUUAUGGCUAAGGAUUUUACCUUUUCCUCCAAGUCUUGAAAAUCCUUAAGAAGAGUUUUGUGUCCAUUGGAUACCUUUUCAUCUAGUAGUGCUUUGACUUUCUCACAAAUAGAGGCAUCUUGUGCACUAUCAGGCGAAGUGGUUUCCAGGACAAAAUCAACUAAGUGAACUUGAUGAGCUUCCUUGAGAUCCUUAUGCUAUCUUUCAAGAUGUUGAAAGUGUUUGUUUUAAUUUCCUAUAAGCUUUAGAAACUCGAGCAGAGGCAGAUAGAAGUUGAUUAUAUCCUUCAAUUAAUUCUUCUCUUGAUUCAAAUAUUACCUCUUCACAAUUAGAGUUGACAAUGUCAUCAGACUGAGAGUCCUCAUCAUCUGAACUUGCAUCCAAUGCUGGUUUUGCUUUACUGGUGGAAGCAUCAUCAAUCAAACAUAGAUUGGCUUCUUCUUCACUGUCUUUGUUAGAAAAGUAAUCAUUUAGGUCCUCCCAAGUGCUCAUGAGGCUCUUCUUUUUGGACUUGAAGAAUUUCUUCUUCUUUUCCUAUGGCUUUUCAAGAUCAGGACAUUCUAACUUGAAGUGUCCUGGAUUUUUGCACUCAUAGCAGAUGAUUGGACUUUUCUCUUUCUUGUGGAAUGAUCUCUUAGACAAUCCAUUGAAUCUAGACGAGUUCUUAUUUUUCCAUAUUUUUCUAACUUUUCUUGUGAUCAGACUCAGCUCAUAAUCUUCUUCAUCAGAGUCAUCAUCAGAUUCUUCUUCUAAGGUGUCACUUACGACAAGGGACUUGGACAAUGACUCUUUGGACGUAGUGCUACGUUUUGGUCUUUGAGUUGUAAGGGCUAGCAACUUCCCUUUCUUUGUUCCUUCAUCUUGUGCAAACUCUUGCUCAUGGACUUUAAGAAUCCUAACGAGCUCUUCAAGAUGUUGGAUCGAGUGGCCUCAGAAUAAUUAAGAAGGGGGGGGGGGUUGAAUUAAUUAUUCCUAAACCUUUACCAAUUAAAAAAUUACUCUUUUAAGGCUCUUACUAAAUUGUUAAGAGAAUGAGGAGUAGAAAAGAAUCUUAACAGAAAGUAAAAGCAGAAAUUAAAUGCACAGCGGAAAGUAAAAUAGUAGGGAAGAAGGAAACAAACACACAAGAGUUUUUAUACUGGUUCGGCAACAACCCGUGCCUACAUCCAGUCCCCAAGCGACCUGCGGUCCUUGAGAUUUCUUUCAACCUUGUAAAAAUCCUUUUACAAGCAAAGAUCCACAAGGGAUGUACCCUCCCUUGUUCUCUUUGAACCUAGUGGAUGUACCCUCCACUAGAACUGAUCCACAAGAGAUGUAUCCUCUAUUGUUCUCAGUCAAACCCAAAUAGAUGUACCCUCUACUUGUACCACAAAGGAUGUACCCUCCAGUGUGUUAAGACAAAGAUCUCAGGCUGUUAAACCUUUGAUACUUUGUGAAUGGGGAUACAAAAGAAUUCUCAGGCGGUUAGUCCUUUGAACACUUUUGUAUUAGGGAAUGGGAAGAAUCAAAAGAAUUCUCAUACUGUGUCGUUUUGAAUUCUUUGACAAGGGAGAAGGGAGACACAAAAGAAUUCAGGCGGUUAGUCCUUUGUUCUUUUGGAAAAGGGAGAAGAGAGACA
Molecule: long non-coding RNA, 73586 nt
Filed under: Glycine max (soybean)
Lineage: Eukaryota; Viridiplantae; Streptophyta; Magnoliopsida; Fabales; Fabaceae
Description: long non-coding RNA (GMAX_LNC001294)
Source: RNAcentral